CUAAGUGUGUUAACCAUUAAAUAUAAUACAGAGACAGCUUGAUGAAUCAAACAAUAAGAACUGGUACAAUGAAGUCAAACAAUUAUCAGCAAGGUCCAUUGCAAGUUUGGCUGUCCAAAGCUACAAAAUCAUUGCACUAAGAGAUACAUGUCUACGUGGCUUGUUUUCUUUCUAAAUAACUAAUAUUUGAGAGGUAAUAUGACAUUAUGACAUUUCAAACUAUACUAAUACACCUGCAAACAAAGUUACUUUCCAGCCAUAAAAAAUAUGCACAUAGUAGUUGUACAGUAUGGUGUCAAAAUUUGUUGAUGGGCAGAGAGAUCUAGCGCUGAGGAACAUACUAGCUACAUCAUGUUUCCAGCUUCUGUAUUAAUUCAUGGCACCCAGUUCCCAUCUUCACUGGCAAACCAAGACAAAUUCUAGCAGAAGGAGAAUCCAAAUUGUCCACCUGCCCGUGACAAGCUGCUUCAACAAUGAAAUUUGAUGCUGUCUCGAAGCAUAUUUUGAGGAACGGGGAUGUAGAAUCUGCUAUGCUCCCCUUUCUGCUCAUAGGGCGAUAGCAACCGGAGUGUGUCAUAAAGUCAGCAAUAAGCAUCAAGUGUCGGAUAUUUACCGAUAUUCCAUAAGACUUGAAAACGUUUUGUACUUCCCUGAUGAUGGUUUCUUUGGCUGCUUCCACCCCGUAAGUGCUUAGAAUAGCAUGCACGUUGUUUGAAUAAACAUACCUAACAUUAAGAUCAUCUUGCAUCUCCCAAAAUGAUUUAAAAUGUAUGCCAGAUGUUUGAAGUGCUGGUAUUUUCUCUUUCACUGAUGAGGGAAUUUCUUCUCUUUUACUAUCAUCUUCACCAUAGUAGAUUACACCACUUUCUUUACAUGUAAUAGCUUUACAUUGACCAACUUUUCCAAAGUUCUGGAUACAAACCUUCUCAGCUGUUUUCUGAGCAAUCUGCAAAAAGAUAAUUUGAAAUAAGUGAGUUCUAUAUGUAAAGCAAGGACCAAAAUAGAAAAUUGAACUACAUAGUCGUAGCAAAUAGAAAUCCAUGCUCAACCUACAUUUUUGGAGUCGGGUUAUUUAAAAAGAAGUUCACUACUAAACAGAAAAUGAUUUGCAGUAGAAAGUAACUGAGCCAACAAUAUGUGAGGUUCAUCCGUAAAUUUAAAGUGGAUCUCAAAAUGCCUCUUCUCAAAUUUUACAUAGACUCUCCUGUCAAAUUUUUUGCUCACAGGUUGAGAUUUCGAAUUUUCUUCAGGUCCUUGAGAGUAAUUGACACCAAGUGUCACCUUUUUAUCAUUCUCAUUAACUUCAAUAUCACUGCCAUCCUCAUCACCUUUUCCAUCCUCAUCAUCUUUGCCAUCCCCAUCAUCUUUUACAUGCUCAUUAUCUUUGGCAUCCUCAACACCUUCCAAGUCCUCUGACAGCUCACCAUCUUCAAGUGUUUCCUCUUCAGGACCAUCAUCGUAAUCAACGUCAUCCACAACUUGUCGCUUACUCUUUUGAGCAUCUAAACCGAGAUCUUCAGCCCCCUCUGUGUCGUCAGCAUCACCGUCAUCAUCAUCAUCAUCAUCAUCAUUAGUUUUACCAUUGCUAGGAUCAUCUUCUGCACCGUUUGAAGAAUUUGGUUGUGCAUCUGUCUUAAAGUUUGUUAUGCCACUAAUUUUAGCCAGCAGUGCAAUGUUGUUUUCUAUUGCAUCCUCCAACCCUCUCACAAAGGAAACUCUAAGAGUUUCUUCCCAGUCUUUAAGCGUAACAUCGGUGUAUUUUGGAUAGUGUUUAGGUUUAUGCAGCUUCAUCAUAAGCUUAUAUAUACUGCAAAUGCGACCAUCUUGAACAGUUACUGGUACAACAGAAACUUUCAUACUCUCAAUUAUGUCAGCUACAGUAAUCUUUUUCAUUUUGUCAGCAAGGCGAAUAGCAUCUUCCCUGUAAACAGAAAACUCGUCAAAAUUUCUGCUGCUAUGUAGAAAUAACAAGUUUACAGAAAAAGUAAUGCACAAACACCAAAAAAAAAGACAUUGGAGACCAAGAACAAUGUCAGCAUCUCACAUAGAUUUAUUUGGUCUCAGGGGGCAUGUCAUAAAGGGAGUCUUGAUGUGAGCAGAGGCUGCCGUCAGGAUCUCUUGCAAACGUGGAAUUCCAAGAGUCACAUUCAUUUCACCUCGACCAGCAAGGUGGAAAGUAUUCAAACUGAGUACAAAAUGAAAAGAGGAAGCCAAAACAGUUACUCAGCCACACAAAAAUCACUUUUAAAUUUAACAAAAUAAUGAAGGAAAACAAACAGAUAUGCAAUCCUAACCCUACUAGCUUCUAUAAAAGGCACAAAUUUCAUAUAUAUACAAAUCUUCUUUUGCAAUUAUUGAGAAUUUAAUGGCCAUCAAACACAAUUUUACCCAUUUCGAACUAUUAAAAUUUAUUGUUUAGCUUGUUUCAUUUAGUUCUUUCCAAAUUGUCACAACAAAAGAAUAGCAGGCUCAACAAGAAGAGGCAAUAUCAUCUCCAGAGGUUGUUAUAGUUGUACAUGAUCAUAAGAAAGUUGAUAUAAAAUAGCACCAAUUGUUCAAUGACACCGAGUGAUUGGAGUCGGAGCAGAGGGCAUGGUAAUGCUCCAAUUUAAUAAACAAGUAUUCCCUUAGUCAGGUUCUUGGGACAAAACCUAUUUGAACUAGGUCUCUACCGAACAUGGUAAUGCACAUAGUAGUACUGAGUGAAGAAACAUAAGCAUGUUUAGUUGUCACUAAGUUAGAUCAACAAAUAUAAUUUACUCAAAUGUCAAAGGCACAGCUAUUUAAGGUUUUAGUGACCUUGUGAAAAUACUAAAUCUCAAGUGGUUUAAGUGUACCGUCAACUACUAUUUAUUAGUUAAAUGACCUCUAUUUCCCAUAAAUGAUUUGCUAAAGCUUUUCGUGAAGCAUAUAUGUUCCUAGACAAUUAAACCUCAAGAUGAAAUAUCAACUUAAAAUAUUGUGCUUAUCUGUAGCAGCUAUAUUGUUUCCAGUGAUCAUAAAAGACUGGGAUCACAAUUUAAUUAUUCAUGUUUUUUCAUGAAACAGAUUGAUCAAAAAGACAUCUUAUGGUUACAUGCUAUGUACAGAGAAAACAAGGACAAAAUCUAUGACGAUUUAAAUAACUUACGUCAUCUGAGUUGCAGGUUCACCAACAGACUGAGAAGCUAACACACCAACUGGCUCACCUGGUUGAGCAAGACUUGAGACAUACUUGUGUUCCAUCAACUGCAGGAAAUUCGUGUGUGUCAUUGAACCAGAAUUUCUUUGUUUUGAAGAGGAAUCCCGAAUGAAUUUUUCUGCUUUUCCUUUAAGAGCAUCAGGCAAUUUGUUAAUAUAUGGACUGGAUUCAUCUAGCUCACGGCAACAGUUGCUGUAAACCAACUCUUUGUUCUGAAAAUAAAUAAUACAAAAAUACAUAAACUAUGAAUACAAUAUCUAAAUGUAAUAUAUUUAUGGCUUUAUUAAAAAUAUUAAACAAGUUCUUACAGUUGACAAUGCUUCAAAUUUAUUGAUAAAGCUAGUUUGAUGAACAUCCACACCAUCUUCUCCAUAGUGAAACUGAAUAAUUGAACCAUCAGCAUCACGGACAGUAUGAUCAUAACAAACUUUAAGGCACUCGAGGUUUUUCAUUAAACAUCUUUGCAGGUAACCACUUCUAGAUGUUUUGACUGCAGUGUCAACUAACCUGUGAAGAAAAUAUGUCAUUUAACUUGUGAUUUGGGGAAGAAGACGUGAUGUGGAGUAAGCUUUCAACAGCUAUAUACCACAUCACCAAGAUUUAACACCAUUUACCACUAACUUAAAGGAAGGGGCCAAGUUGCCUUAACAUAUGUAAGUUAAGGGACCAAAGUGACCAGUUGUAAAGUAAACUGAACUUUUAAAAUAAGUUAAGGGACCAAAAGGGCAUUUAAGCCCCACUAUUUAGUAUUAGGUGCCAUUAUGCCUUUUAGAUUUUAAAUAGAUACAAUACACAAACAAUUAAUAGCAUAUUGAUUCGUAAUCCUGAAGCUUUUAUCUUACCCUUCUCGACCAGCCAUACAAUGAAAGUAAUAUUCCUGUGGACGAAGAGCUGUAAGAAACCGAUCAAUAAUGAAUCCUCCUGCUCUGGGAGAACAAUCCCAUGAUGUAAAGCAUGGUAAGGUCUUUCCAGAAACCAUACGUGGGACUCGUUUUCCUUCCAACUCUUGCUGGCCAAGAUGAGAAGAUAUCUGCUGGAAAUUGACCUGUUCAAAAGCAUAUGAAAUCAUCUUCAUUUCACUAAAUAUCAUCAACUUAAAUGACUAAUAUCGAUUGGAAAAGAUGAAAAUGGACUUAGGAUAGUGAUUCAAAAACAACAUGGAAAACAGUAUGUAUUAUACCAUAAAACUAUAAACCAAUUGUCAGACUAGUUAUUAAUGUAUUAUGUCUGGUUAAUAAAAGAAUCUAUCAAAACAUAUUGAAAAAAAACUUAUUUUACCAAACUUUUUAAUACCACAAGAAACUAUACGAAUAGUCCAACAUCCUUGAAUUUUUACUCUAUAGUAUCCACUAAAAAAAACCAUUAGCUCAAUUAAAAAGAAAUUGAUUUCCACUUGAAAGAAGUCAAAAUGCCCAAACUAAGCUAACAAAACCUUCUUAAAGACAUGGAGCAAUGAACCAACCAUAUCUGUAGUUGCCCCCUUAUACGCCAUUUUUACGAAAAAGAUUGAUAGCUCAUAAUUGAGAAAAAAAUUGAUGUUUCAUAAUUUUAGAUAACAUCUGAAUACUCUUCAAUAGGAUUUUCCAUCUCAUAAAGCACCAAAUAAUAGAUUUUACCUAGGUCCUCAGACAAAAUGUUACUUCAAACAAGUGUUGUGUGAAAGAGACUUGAGCACUCAAAUAUUUAAAGGAGACUCUUUUGUUUCUAACAGAGCACACACAGUGUGUAGUAUAGUACAUUGUAUCCUUAUACACAAACAGUUAAAUAGAGUGAUGAAGAUGCAACAGUACACUUACCAUACUGCCCUUAGCUCCAGAUGUAGUCAUAAGAGAAAUCCAAUUUUUUCCUGAGGGUUUUAAUAUUCCUUCAGAUAGUAGCUCCUUCAAUACCCCAGAGCUUGUUCUGGAGUUAAGAUUACUUAUCAUCUUCCUAUCUAAGUAUGUUAUGGCUGCUUCUCCGUUACUGCGUAUUUUUUUCUCAACAUUCAACUGCAUCGUGAUUGGAUCUGAAAUACCAAAUAUGCCAACACAUCAUAAUUUUACACAAAAAACUAAACAAUAAUAAGAAAAUGGCAAGUACGAAUUGGAUGCUUGUCUCGCAGUAAGAUAAUACUUGAAUACAAAAUUUCAUUUGGUUAGGGAAAUGCUUUUAUCCAAAAUAUGAUUCAUAAAGCAUGUCACUAUGUGUACGUGCAGAUGUUCUUUUACAUUACAGUAGGAUGAAACACAUACACCAAUCUGUCAUAACAUGUUGGACUGUGUUCCUACUAGUUUCCAUUCCCAGGACAAACACUAAUCUAAUAUUAACUAAGCCCAUCAGAGAUCACUAAAAUAGGAUGAGAAUAAAUUGAAUAAUGAAACCAUGUCACGGCAGUAGAUGUUUUCUUCCAUCCACAUUUUGGAAGACAUGUUUGAUUCUAAGUGGUAACAAACCCCCUAUACUUAUACGAGAACCCAAAAUUUUGUGCCUUACCAAACCAUGGUACAAAAAGUUGUCCAUAGACAAGCUAUUAAAAAGACAAAAAUAUCUUUACCUAAUUAUUAUAUAUUCUCUUUCCUCUCUCCCUCCACUCUCUCCGCCCCUCAAUCUCUCUCCCUUACAGAGGUAACCAUACAUAAGUCCACAUUUCAAGCAAAAAUGCCCCCAGCUAUUCAUGAAGAUACACCAAAUUUAGUAAAUAUUUAGCGCAUGAGAACUAUAUAAUAAGCAUAUAUGCAUUAACUAGUUUUCUGAAGCUUAACUAAGAAGCUGAUUGAUAUCAUUUUAAACCCGCGUAUCCAACCGCCCUUUAUUCUUAUUUAGAAGCGACGUCCAUCAAAACCUUGUGGCCAUAAAAGUCGCUAUAGGAACCACCUUAACAUAAUCCUAAACACACGAAUUAUCUACUCUUUUCAAUGUUGCAUCAUGGUCAUAGAAAUAUACUUUUGCUGUAUCUUCUGUAACAGACAACCCUUUUUAAACACAAACACCUGCAUCAAUCUAUGCUCGCAAUAACAAAGGUCUAAUUCAGUUUGUUUCAAAGAGAAAUAUUCUGUGGGGCUCUAGAAACAAUUGGCAAGAAGAAGUAAAUGCAAGAAAGUCUAGAACAAUAUCGGAAGCCAGUUGUGCAGAAAGAAUUUCACUAUAAUAAAGGGUAAGUAAAUUUACAUAGUAAUCCAGAAAUUAACCAAAUUAGUGACAUAAAUGGUAUCACAUCUGGAAAUGGAACAUUAUUUUAAAAUCCUGUAAUUAGAAAUAAUUAAUAGUACUUCACAUUACCUAUAUUAUCACCCUCCAUGACUCCAAUGAAUUCACGAUGAACAAUGUCACCAAUUUCCUCACAGCUUUCAAGUUGAUUUGUUCUUUCACUAUCCUUUCCUUCUGUUAACAGAAGAUCAUCAACCCCACAUGUGAACCCAUGCAUCUGAAUGACAAAAUAUAUCAGAAUCUUGCAGGAUAAUUAAAUCCUAAAAAAUAUGUCAUAUUUGCCAAACUAGAGAAAUAGUGACUAACCUGUAAAAAGUUUGUGAAUAACCUACUUAAUGCCGAAAGUAGAAAGCCAGCAGUAUUUGAGCCGUAAAACUCUUGCACUGUAUGCACAAUUCCAUAAUCUCCAAAUUGAGCCUUAUCAACUACACCACGCACCAAAUCAUUUUUGUAAAUCAACAAUUUAUCCUCAUCGGGCUCAUCCUUUUUUAUUGAUGUAUCUUUAGUACGUUUUUUUCCCUCCCUCAUUCGAGUCUUAAAAAAACUAGAUGGGAUUUUUGCAUUCUUCUCAACAGUAAAUGGUGGGGAACCUUUAGUGAUAUAGUAUAGCAAUGCACUGAUAACCUAGACAGAAAUAGAACAAAAAAUUACUUUAUACAACGAUAAUGGCAUGUAAAACAAAGAACAGAAUAUACACAAGUAGGAAAAUUAGAGACAAGUGCAAAAAAUGUAUAGUAACCUGUUUCCCUGUCCACAAUGGCUCUGGCUUGAAUAUUGCCGGAGGAAACAGAAACAUUUCACUAUCAGAGUUUGACAUGAAAAUUUUCUGUCCUGGUUUGCCAGGGAAAGGGCCCAUCCCAGUCAUUGAUACACCAGAACUGUAGAGAAGUUGAUUGAACUCUUCACAGCUCAAAAAGGUAUCUUUUUUUGUGAGAAGAGCAGCACUUACAAUAUGAUCCUGGAAAAUACAUUUGAAAUUGGAAAAAUAAACUUCAGAAACUCACCCCAAAACAAAUCAUCUAUUUAAUAAGAAAACUCAGUUUUUAUCAGCCAAGUGUCACACUCUUAUUGUUUGCAAGCAUUAAGCGUCACACUGUUGCGUUUGUUUUCUCUCCGUUUAUUUAUUUUUGUCCUGACCACGUGCAGCACAGGCAACCUCUGCUAUAUAGAAAUAAAGCUCAUUAACUAUUUAUUCAAAUAGGAGAGGCCUGCUUCUGAACUAGUGGUCAUGGCUCUACUUGGGAUUUGGGAAAACAACCUCAGUUCCCUUGUGUUAACCUGUAUGCAUCUGAUUCUCUCUUGACCCCCAUUAUAUCGAAAUCCCAAUGCAGUAACCAGUCCUUUUUUAAUUAUGUAUGUUAAUACCUGAAUCAAGGCUCUGAUUGGAUCACCACUUGUAGGCUUCACAUAUUGGUUGUUGGCAUUUACAAUAUUGUAAGCUUCAGCACGUGAAAUUUCAUCUUGAGGAAAAUGAACAUUAAUCUCAUCACCAUCAAAGUCAGCAUUGUAUGUACUGAGAUGACAACAAAAGAAAGAGGUAAUUGACUUUAGCAACCAAGAUAGGCAAAGAUGUUAUUCAUAUUAAUACACAAAAAUAAGUUCUCAAGAUAUAGUCAAAUGUAUUAAUACAUAGAUAGUUACAUAUUUAUACUGCAAUUGGACAAAGCUCAGAGAAAUGAUUAAUAUGUUACCUGCAGUUCGCAUAAUGCAUGCGUACUGUUUUCUCUCCCUUUAGAACACGAACUACAUGUGCCAUUAUACUAGGUUUAUGAAGUGUGGGCUGCAAUAGAAUGCAAUGUCCAAUUCAAAAAACAAUAAGGUACUAAAAAUGGCCAUGUUCAUAUCACACAUACUCAGCAAUAGAUGUGAACAGUCAAUCAACAUAGUUGCAUCAUUCUAUUGUCAUAUACAGAGUUAUUGUCAUUUUUUGUUCUUUUAAAAAGGGAAAAAAAACCAAAGGAAUAGAAGACAAUGCAAUAUUGAUUAUUAUAUUAUUAAAAGUUUAAAACACAUCAAAUGAGAUCAUGCAUUACCUGUCGGUUGACAAGCACUACAUCACCAUCUUUCAAGUGACGAUACACAACUUUUCCUUCAAAUUCAUUGUCAUGUAUCUUCCCAUUAUGCAUGAUAACCCCUCUUGAGGAUUGUAAUCUCCUUGAUGUCAGAGAACGUGACCUCCUAUCUAGUGGAAGCUUGAGUGUUGAUGUUUUAUCAGCAUAGAGGGUAGCACCAGGAUGGGUUUCAGGACCAUUUAGGAUAGCAUUCCUUAAUUCAACUACAUUCCAAGGAGUCACUCUCUGCAAUAUAUUAACAAAAAAGCCAAUGGCAAGAAUCAAAAUAUCAUUCAAAGCAUUCUCAUGAUGUUUUAUACCAAACCUAAUAAUAUUCCACUCCAUGCAAAGUCCAAGACACAAUUAUUAUAUUACAAAAUGCCAGCAUCAUUGGUUUGUCGACAUGUUAAAUUUAAUAAUUACAUAUUGUUUCACUUCAUUAUAGAGUAAUAUCCCAAUCUACGGUUCUAAUGCUCAGGAACAAUAAAGUGAUCAAAAUUUGGCUGCAGCAUGCAAAUUCUUAACCAGAUGAAUAAGAAUGCUUUAAUUUCAGUUUCAAUUCCUUAUCUUCUUUAACUUAUACAUACAGGCUGUACCAUGGGAAAAGAUGGUUCAUCUAUCUAGGACCAUAAGACUUAUUGAAGAAGAUAAUGAAGUAAUCAAAAGCACAAUACCAAAAUAUUUGCUACUAUUAACAGCAUAACAGACACAAAUAAUAGAUAUGCAUAUUGACUAUAUGUAGUUACAUCUCUCACCUCAGGAUAUGUUAACCUCAGAGCAAAAUAUGGGGGAAUCCCAAUUUCAUUGACUGCCAAAUAAGGAUCUGGUGAAAUGACAGAGCGGCAUGCAUAAUUAACUCUCUUUCCCAUCAUUUUCUGGCGAAAGAUGCCUUCCUUCUUUUCCAGCAACUGACAUAUUCCAGUAACCAAGUCUUUUUGGCCUAUGCCAAGCAAAAAAUAUUUCUAUGUAGGUAAGAACUAUAAGCAAAAAAUCUGAAAUAGCUACAAAAUAACAUGCUUAUCUAGUGAUCGACAAACUCAUCAUAUGGAAUUGAAAUUUUGUUUUAAAAAAUGUUAUUAACUAUUGGUUUCUUGAUCUUCGACAAUUACUUUGCAUUUUACUUCAUGUAAUUAUUUGUUCCUCCUUCAUUACAAUAAUUGUUCUUUUAUCAAAACACAAACAAAGAGAUCCCUUUGCAAGCAUUGGUAUUACAUAUAAAAUCAUGUAUACGUCCAUUUGGUGCAUUUGUUUUUUUGCUAAUUGAAUUUGGACAACUUUUUACCACUGACCAAUUACAAGCAAACAUAAAUACACCCAACUCCAUAUGUUCCUAUCCCAAAUAAUGAAAACAAAGUGAACCAAAUGAAACUCUCACCAGAAGCAGUUUUAUUGUCAAAUAGGAGGUUUACAGAUCGCUGAAGAUCCAUCCACCGCCUUAGAACCACUGAUGCAUCUGACUUGUUUAAAUGGGCCUGUCCCAAGGAUAUGUUGGACUCUAAAACCCUAGUCAACAAAACAGUUUGAGCAUGCUCCGACACCUACAAAAGACAUUGAACAAGUAAAUUAAGCACAUGUAGGAUGAUAAUGACAAAUUCUAUGGUGUACAAACCCAUCAUAUGGUCAGUACACCAAACUGAUUAUUGUAAUAUAGAAAAUAAGUAUAGAGGGAAUACAAAAGAAUGAAACUCAUUAAUGAAGCUCUGAAUUGUUCUAAAUAUGUAAUUUGUACUCCCUAUUCCUUUUUACUCAUCACUUUUGUAGACAAAGUUUAUUCCUAUUUACUUGUCUUUUUCAAAAUUCAAUGCAACAUUAACUAUUACUUAGUCAAUAACAACCUUAACUAUUUAAUGCAGAUAGAGAAACAGUAGAAUGCGAUAGUAUAUAGUUAAAAAGACAAACAAACAAUUUCAUCAAAAGAAACAAAAUUUAUUAGUUUUCUUUGUAUGUGUAAAUAACCUUAAAACAAAAACUAAAAAGGAACAGAGGAAGUAAUUCGUAAUACAAGUAAUGAGAUUAUACAAAAAAACUAACACCAACUACUGCAUAUAUACUAAAACAAUGGUAUAGAAGACAACAAUACUCUUUACAUGGUAUACUACUAUUCUAAAAGUUAUUAUUGCUUGAUAACAAUAGCUUCCAUAUAUAUUAAUAUUUUAUAUUUUUCAACAAUAAAUUAUAGUAUCAAACGAUAAGAAAUGAUGCAAUGAAUAAAAACACCAAUAGCGGCGCGGAGCGCCCAACCCCAAAAAUGGGAUAACGAGAUUGCGGAUAGCGGGAUGAGCGCUAUUGUGAAGACCAAAAGCAAUAUAUAGACUAAACAUAAAAUACAAACAGUAGACAAACAUACUAAAAAUAGCAAAAAUAAAGGGGUAAUCAUAGUGCUUCAUAUUUCAUAACCAAAAUGGCCAAAAAUAGAAGUAUAUGGACGAAGAAGAAAAUAGAAGUAUAUUAACAAAGAAGAAAACAGAGGAACGAUCACAGCAGUUAUGUUUUGGAUUUAAAAUAAUAAUGUGAAGGAGGAGAAAGGUCAAUAAAUAAUAAAAUAAUAGGGUUUUGAGUGCAAAAAGACUCAAAUACCCUUAAUGAAAAUUAAAAAAAUUCAACAAACCCUAAAAAAACAAACUAGCGGGUCAUGGACCCCGGGUAAGGCGCAACACGUUGGCACGUUUGAGCGCUUUUCGCGGCCGCAAUUGCCGCAGCGGGUGACGGCGGUUUCACAGUGAGGGGCACUGCGGAGAUGGCCUCCACAACGCAAUUCCGCAAUUGACAACAUAGGUAACAGUUCCAACAGAAUAAAACAUAUUUUCAAUAGUUGAAGAAAUUAAAAAGGGAAAGGAAAUAAAAUUAAAAUAAUAAAUAUGAAAAUACACAUUAAACUUCAUCUAUACAAAAAAAGAGAUAUCUGCCUCAUAGUAUUACAUGGCUUCCCAACACUUGUAGAAAUUUAUAAAUUCAAGUCAACAGUGUCAUAUUUUUUUUGGUCAUACUUACUUUAUCAUCUCCUUUAGUUGGGGGACGGAAUUUGAUUGGUGGAACGUAAAUGUUCUCUAGAAAGAACAUUGAGUGACCGGCUUUCUUUCCAAUACCUAGACCUUGAAUGUCACUGAUAUACAAGCACAGUCGAGCAUCAUUUUCCCACAAAAGCUCUAGAAUUCUCUGAACCUAUAAUUUGGAAAGAAUUAAAUGAAAUGCUCCAUUAACUUUAACUUAGAAAACAAAAGGGUUAUAAACCCAGUCAUUAAGCCAGCAUUUUAAAGAAACUAACCUGGGACGGUAGCAAAGACCCAGCGAGUGUAUGAGACGAUAUUUGUUUUUCUUUAUUAUGCCUUUUUGCAUUACUAUUUGCAAUAUCACCAGAGGUAAUAUCCUCUACAUCUGUAGUAUCCCCAUUUCCUAAAGAUAUAUCAUCAUGGAUUAUUUCGCUUGCCAAGGAUACAUCAUUGCCUGAAAUAACAUUUGCUCUGGCUUGAGCAGCUGAGAGAGCUUUCUAGAGAAGUGGAAUGAAAAGAAAAGAAAACAAGGAAUUAGACAUUGCAGCAAUGAAUACCAACAAGCUUGAAACUAUAGCAUGACAUUGUAUCUUGUGGUCAUGUACACUUCUUACGCAAAUGCAAAAUCCACAAUAGAUUUAAGGACUUCGCAGUAUUCCAGUUUCAAAUUCCUCAUAUUCAAAACCCAUAUUUAACAAAUAGUCACAGUGACACAGAUGACUAACUUAACUUUUUCUUCACACUUGAAAAUUGGAACUAUCAAAAACAUGUACAAAAGAAAUAGCAUCAAUAGUGCAUAUUAAAUACAAUAGUAAGCAACAAAACAUAAUCAAUGUCACACAUACGCAUAGAGGGAGAGACAGCAGAUUAAAAGAUGCUUAUUCCUAGGUUUGGUAUAGCACACACAUCAAAGUAUCAAACAGUGUCAGAAUUUAAUUAAAAUUGAGAGGAUCAUAGUGUGUCUGUUCUGUUCACAACAUAUUCAAAUACUGCAGCAAUCACAAAAGAAUCAAAGUAUGGAGAGAAUAAAAUAUUUUACCACGUGAAACCAUCCAAAGGUUGGUAUAGUGAUUUUAGGAUUGAUAUAUCCACAAUUUUGACACUUCCUGUAUUCCUUUUUUAGAAACUUCCUUAAAACAGACAUUGCCUCACUAAAUUGAAGGGACGUCCAAUUUUCUCCCAGUUGCUCAGCACUACUACAUUGGCUGUCAUCACCAUCACAUAAAUCUGCGGAUUCAUCUAGGUUAAUUUCAUCCAAAUUUUUUGCCUUGGCAAUAUUCCCUUUCAUAAUAAGCUCUAACUGGUUUGCACGCAACUCCACCUUGAAUCAUCAUGAGAUCAUAUGAACAACGGUCAAGAAAUGCACAUAUAUCUUACGGAAAUAACAUAAACAGAGAAAGAAUAAAUAAAAUUACCAAAUCAGCAUAUAUUUACCUCCUUUCUGCUAGCCUGAAAAUGAUGGCACGAGAAACACGUUCUUCGUAGAACAUUGCUAAGCAUAGAAAACAUCAAAGGGUUGUAGGCAGGAGAAACAAGCUCAAUAUGACCAAAAUGCCCUGGGCAAUGAUAAGAGUUUUGACCACAAGAUUGACAACUGCAUCAAGCAAAAGAUUUGUGUCAGAUUCCUAUCCCAUAAUAAAACUGCAUAACAUAAAUACAACUUGCAAAGCAUAUAUAGCAUAUAUAGAAAACAAUAACAAAUUCAUAAGGCACCCGUCCUCCUUAAAAACGGCCUAAGAAGAUAACCACAUACGCACACGUUACUAAAACAUAAAACUAAAUUGAAAAGUAGUAGAAGAGAAACAUACGGAGAUUUCUCAUGAAAAGGACCUAAGGCAGGAUCAUACAAUCCACCAGCAACAGGUGAAUGGAGCGUAUCAAGAAGAAUGGGAUUGGUUAUCUUGACGCGACUACUCUUAAGUAUUUCUUCGUCCGUUAGAAAACUGAAUGCCACAGCCUUCACGCUAUUCGUUGCGCCCUGCAAUUCAAUGAUGAUAAUAAGCAAUCAAAAACGACGACGUAGUAGUAGAGGAUGACGAAGUAAGGUUUGAAUUGAUGCAUGGUAAAUAUAAAUACCUCAGUAGCGAGAGCCAUGUUGGUGUUAUGGCUAAGCGGGAACGAGGCUGGGGGACAGAAAGAGUGAAGUUCAACGGUUGGGGCGGGAGAGAGACGCAAGACAAAGAGUGAAGUUCUUUGGAGUUUCUGACUUAUGAGUUUUUAAUAUAUAAAUAGAGGUGGACAAUGGGCCGGGUAUGACGGAUUUGGGCCCAAUGUAGAAGCCCGGUUCCGCCCUUUUUGUCCAACGGGUUACACGGUUUGCGUUGCGUGGAUAGCAGAUAUCUUUUGUUUAUCAAAUUUCAUACUAGAUUUACUUCGGUGUGUUUGCGCUUUUCACCAUUGCAAGACCUUUGUCCACUCCUAAUUACAGACUUACAGUGAUAUAAAGAAUUAAGUUUUUUUAUUUAUUAAAAAAAUAUUAAAUUUUAUAUAAAACUAUUUUAUUUUUGUUAUAUAUAAACAUAGAUAUUUAUUUUCAAAUUAUUAAAAUUUUGGUAGAUAAAUAAGAAAGAACACGUAGCUAUAAAAAUAUUACUUUAUAUAUAUAUAUAUAUACUGGGCAUAUUUUUCAAAAAAUAUAAAACUAGAUAUAUUACACUAGUUUCAGUAAAAAAGAGGUAUGAUACUGAUUAACGGUGCAUUGCGCAAGUUUGGUUAGAGUACAUACUUGAAAUGUUUUAUAAAUGAGAAAUAAUAGUUUUAGAAGUAUUAUUACAUAUGGUAUAGUUCAAUAAUUUAACAUGUCUUAAAAUAUGGUGAUAUUUAAUCUAAAUUAAAAAUUAUUAAACAUUGUUUAAAAGUUAUACUUUUCAAUAAGUUUAAAAAAUACAUCAUAUUUUACCCUAAUAGCGUAUAUAAGAAUUGUUAACGAAUUUCACAUAUCAUCUUAACAUUUUAUAUUUUUUCUGUUGAUUUAAAACUUUAAUAGUCAUAACUCUUUUGUAUUAUAAUUGUUUUUUACUCAAAUAACAUAGUUUUCAUUAGUAGUCAUGCAACAUGCAACCAAUAAAAAAAAUAAAAUAAUAAUAUUUAGAUUAAAAUGUAUUUUUUAUCUUCUAAUUUUUUAAUUGUGCAUUUUUAGUCCAAUUGAAAGAUUUUAGUCCCUCACGUUUACUUUAUUUUUUAGUCCAAUUGACAUGGCUUUUUUAUUUGACGUGUUUCACUCCUAUUGGCCAAAGUGAAUAUUUAAAAAAAUUAUUUAAAAAAGUUAUUUAAAAAAAAUGAGUAUUAUUAUUGUCACGUGACUUGUUAUAUAAAUCAAAUUAAAAUUACAAUUUCAAAACUAAAAACCCUAAUUUCAUUCAGAAAAUUGAGAUGACGAAGACAAAGGACGAAUACGAAGACUCUCACCAUGCUAGAUAAAGACAAAGACGAAGGAGAAAGAAAAUGAUGAGUUAGAAUUACGUAUUAGGAUUCAGAAAUUGGAAAAAUUGGUGGUAGUUGAAUUCAAUUGAGACAAUCAGAAAGCGAAGAAGAGUAGCGGCAAAGAUGAAGGUAUAAAUGGCGGCGCUCAUGAUUCUUAAAGCAUGGCGAAGAACGAUGGAGUCUUUAAUGGACGACAAUGAAAGAAACAAUGGAGUUUGCAUGUGAUGCUUCAAAUCCUUAUGCAAAUGCUUCAAAAUCUACUAUUGUAGGUUUACAACUUUUGGAGCAACUGCGUGUAUUCACGACCCCCACCAUUCUUUUGCGUAUAAUCUAAAGAAGAAAAAAAACCAAUAAAAUAAAGAAAAAGAUCAAAAUAUGUUGUUGAAUGACCAGUAGAAGAUGAAAUCAUGAUACAAUGAGAAAGAUGAAGGAAUAAAGAAGAAAGAAAGAUGAAGACACUAGGAAAAGUUGAACAAAUAAUGAAGAAAUAAGAAAAAGUAGAAGAAAUGAAUAUUACUGUUUAAAGGGAUGAGAAGAUGGUCACGUUUUAAUUCCUUUUUUUCGUUUAAACAAUUUUUUAAAAUGAAAAUAUUUCCACAACAGCGAAAUGAGUCAAAAUCUAGUUGGGGCUAAAAAAUCACAAAGGAGUAAAUAUAAGGGGCCAAAAUCACUCAAUUGAAUAUAGGAGGUAAAAAAUCGCACAAUUAGAAAAUUAGGGAGUCAAAAGUGCAUUUAAACCUAAUAGUUACCUAAUUCCAGUAAAAGUGAUGGUGGUUAACAAUGAGUUAGUGAAAACUUUAGUUCAAUGAUAAAAAUUGCAUUAAGAGUAAUAAUGACAAAUAAAAAAAUAUAAAAUCCUUAUAUUAAUAUCAAGAACAUAAAAUAAAUGUAGCAGCAAACCACCCAAAAUGAAGUAUUUGAUGUUGCCUUCAUCAUUAUUAUCCUAAGGAUGUUUUUUUUUCCUAAACCUUCAUGAAUAUCUAUCAUUGAAUCUUCACAUUGGGUUUUUUUCUUUCUAUAUACUUUUGUAGAUGGUCUUUUCAUAUCAGCUUUUCGAUAUGAAUUUUUAGUCAUUACCAAUCAUUGGUAGAGUAUCCAUGCAUUUUGUGGUAUUUAUAAUAUAAUCUACUGUUUGGAUCAAGCUUUAACUCUCUUUAUCGAGGUAGGUUGAUUAGAUUGGAAUCAUAUGCAUAUCGUAAAAUUAUUUUAAGCCUAUUUAUUCGUGGAGUGAAGCAGGUGAAGUACUCAUUACUUCUAUCUUUUACUCGAUCACUUCGUCCACCACUUGGAUCUUUAUCAUUGUGAGGAUACCAUUUGUAAUCCAUUUUUUUCCUUCUUGCAACUACUUUUUCCAUAACUAUGUACCCAUCCACUCUUCUUCUAAGUUUGUCAAGUGUCUCAAAAGGUCUCCAUGCUAGCAAAUUAAAUAAGGUAUUGACUUCAAGAGGGGAUCCAUCUUCAGGGUACGCGAGAAGACAAUGCAUCAAACGCUUAUUGAGUUUUCAUCCCAUCGUUAAAAGAAGUGAAAUGCUCAUAUAGGUUUAUAUUCUCGUCAUAUUCUUCCAUGGCUGAGAGGCAGAAUCAUAUGGGUAUUGGUUCUGUAUUGAUUUCGUUCGUGAAUAGGAGUUAUGUUACGUCUUCCUUCUUUCGCCUUUUUAUAUAUAGAGUACCUCGAGAAGAUGCUUCACUUUCUGACUCUGAUGUAGCAACAUUGUCAUAGUUGUCAUCUUCUAUUGAUGAAGUUUUCUACUACGUUUAACAAUCUUCAAUCAACACUACCUUAUUUUUGAGUCUCAUGAUUUGGGCUUCUAUCUUGUCCAUUAUAUCUUAUGUUCUUCACUCAUUUGGACUUCGACAUGGGGAUGAUGAUGAGUCUUAACGUUUGGACCUUUCAAUGUUGUUACCUCACAAUAAGAAGGAGUGUUGGUGUGGUGAGGUUCCAUCUUCAUUAGGUUGUCUCAUAAAUGGGGAGUUCGGAUAUUUGGGUCCUUCAUUUUGAAUGUUGGACUUAUGGAUUUAUUGACUUAGUUCUCCUUGAGAUGGCUCUAUGAGAGCCCUGCUUUUGGUGAUUCUCAUGCUAGUGGAAUAUUGUGGGCUGCAAAAAAGGCCCCACGGCAAGUGUCAAUGUUAUUGUAUGAAACACGAGGUGGAUCACCAUUGUAGGUGAUGUGGUCUUAAAGCUAUUGAAACUAAGUUGGUUUUACAUUUAGAUUUUGAUGUUAACAAAAAUAUUUUAUGAGAACAAUAUAUUUGACUUCAAAGAGUAUGAAGGAAGAUUCAUAUUUUUGAAGAAAAUCUAAAAUAAGAUUUGAUUCCAAUUGAUAAUUGAAGAAAAUCUAAAAUAAGAUUUGAUUCAAAAUUAUAAUUGAUAAAAUUCCAAAAUAAGAUUUGAUUCAAAUUUAUAAUUGAAGAAAAUCUUUGAAUAAGUUGAAAAGAAAAUAUGGUCAAAAUUUGAAGAAGAUUUAAUUAAGAUUUGAAGAAGAUUUGAUCAAAAUUUGAAGAAGAUUUGAUCAAGAUUUAUCUACAACAAAAUAUGAACAGAAUCAAUUUGAAGAAUUUACAAACACAAUCUGAAGAAAAAUAAAGCAGAAUCAAUAUGAAAAGUUUACAAACUCAAUCUAAACAUAAUAGAAAUAUAAUCAAUUUGAAGAAUUUACAAACUUAAUCUGAACAAGAUACAAUUCAAAAUUAAACAAGAACUAAAUUGAAGCCCAAAUUUUCACUAUAAAUAGAUACUCAAGGCUGAAGGAGAAAAACAUAAAAAAGUAUACAAAAAAGUAUAAGAACUCAAGCUCAAGAUUCCAAAUUCAUCUUAGAGUUCAAAGAAAGAAACACUUGUUCGAAUGAGAAAUAUUUUCUGAGUGUUCUUUUCUUAGAGUGUGAGAGUUGUUAUUAUUAUUAUCAGCUUUGUUAGAAGCAACAACUCAAGUUCCAAUCUUUAGUAUCCAACUUGAUAGUGGUUUAGUUCAUUCUUUAAUCUGGAGUUGUCAGGUUGUUUGGAGAAGACUUGGCUUGUAGGGUCAAAGUGGUUAGUUCCUCAAAAGUCUGGAUUUGUUAGGCUAUUUGGGAAGAAUGGCUUGGAGGGUCAAGUGCUUUGUAAUUCAAGGUAUUUGAAUUAUUGGAUUAAAGCCUUUUGAAUAAGGAAACUGGAUGUAGGCAAGUUAGUGGUAAACCAAGAUAAAUAUAUGUGUCAAAUUAUUUAUGCUUUUAUAGUUUGCUGCUUAUGAAUCUGAUUGCUUCUUAUCUAAGUACUUCAUAAAAAUCAAUCAACCUUCAUCAAAUUAGCAAAAAGUUAUCAACUUUGGAAAACACAAUUCAACCAUCUCUUCUUGUGUUUGCAUAUUCACUUGGCAUCGGAGCUCGAUCUCAAGGCUAAGCACUUUACAUUUUUUGAGGAAAGAUCCAAGUGUUCAACAUGUCUAGUUAUAGUGAAUCAACAAAUAAAGAAAUUGAGGUAUUUUCUGAAUAUACUCGAUCUGAUUUAAUUACUGCUAUAAUUUUUUUUUAAACACUUAAGAAAGAAAAUACAAAUCUAACUGAAAAACUUAAUGUUUUAAAGAAUCAAAAUGUUGAAUUUAAAAUAGAAAAUGCAAAUCAGAAAACUAAUAUUAUUGAACUUAAGACAGAUAAUGCAACUCUGAAAACUGAUAUUAUUGAACGUAAAACAAAAAAUGUAAAUAUGAAAUCUCAUAUUGUUGAAUUUAAGGUUGAAUAUCUAACUUUGAAAAGUAAUUAUAGUUCAACAUCAAUUGAAAAUACCACAUGUAACUCCGAUAAACAUGAAGAAGUAUUUCAAGAUUUUUCUUAUAAUGGUAUGGAAAGAAGCAAGUAUGCAUAUAUAAUUUAUGAGGUUAAUAGGAAUGGUAAAAGAGGAAUAGGAUUUCAAGAUAAAGAAUUGAAUCUAAGUUUAUUCUCUCCGAUGAUUUAUGUACUAUUUGUUAUAAGAAAGGUCAAACUAAAAUAUCUUGUCCUAUGUUAACCACAUGAAAAGACAAGAAAUCUUUAAGAUCUAACAAGCCAGGACCCAACAAGAUUUGGGUACCAAAGGAUAAAAUUAUUUAUGGUGCAAAUGAUCUAAGCAACCAAAUUGAAACACCAGUCAUGGUGUCUGGUCAAUGGAUGCUUGCAAUAUAUGAAAGCAAAAAGGUUUAUGUUCCAAGACCUAUCAAACUGAAGCCAACUGACUCUGAUGAAAGAAGGAUUGGUCAUCACAAUACCUAUCAGAACUAGAACCAUAUGAUGAACCCAAAAUAUCAAUAAAAUCUAGAGUAUCAACUGAAUCAAAAACUGACAAAGAAAUCACCCAUAUCAAUAGAACUGGAACUACCAAAAGAACCAGAAUUACCAUCAGUUCCAAAAUUACCAGAGUAACCUGAUACAUCAGCAAAAACAGAAGUGUCAAAUUAAUAAUCAGAAUCAGAAGACUUUUUUGAACACUCCAAUCAAAUUCAUCAAGACUACAAACCUGGAUGGGAAUUCAAAUCCCUUCAUUCAAACCCUCUAAUCAGAGAAUAUGAAAAUUCAAAAUCUGAAAACUAGAAAAAAAGAAAUAAGAGGGCUUUCAUAGUGAAACUAAAACUGUUAACAUAUAGGUAAUAUUUUUAUUUAAAUUUAAUUAUUGUCUGAUAUUAUGUUUACUAUGAUAACAAGAAGCUUGAUCUUAAAUAUCAAAGCUAGAUAAGUAUUUUGCAGGUUCUCAAAAAUUUAGAGGAACAAAGAGAUCCACAUAAUUCGAACACUUCAGCAGAAGUAACAUACAAGUUUGGUUUUCAGAAACAAGCAAAAACCACAAGAAACAAAAUUAAUGUUUUGGUUGUAUUGAUUUCAUGCUUCAAUUUUAUUAUUUAUAUUAUGUUAUAUGAAAAACAGCUUUAACUUAAAAAGUCAAAACAAGUUGAGGAUACUGUAGGUUUGCCGGAACCAGAGGAAGCAAAUGCAGACAAACUAGAAGAUGACAAUUAGCCUCCACUGUGUACAUCCCAACUUGCUCUUUAACAUGUCUAUAACUUUAACUCCAUUGACAACUAUUAUAAUCGAUUUCUUCCACCAAGGCAUAUACUUCUUCAUGUUCUUUGUUUAGAAUAGAGCCUCCAAAAGCAAGAUCAAUAUUAUUUCUACUUUGAACUAAAAAUCCAUUAUGAAAAAUCUGAACAAGUUGCCAUAUAUGGUAGCCAUGAAGCCGACAACUUCUGAUCAUGUCUUGAAAUCUUGUGUCUCACAUAAGAAAUCUUGCUCAAAUUGAACAAAGUUGGCGAUGUCAUUCCGAAGUUAAGAAGACCUGGAUGGAAAAAAAUAUUUUUUUCAAAAAUAUUUUGGUUAGUUGAUCCCAUGUAAUAGACUUAGCAGGUUGGGAUGACAACUAGUUUGAAGCCUUAUCCGUCAAAGACCAUGGAAAUAGCCUCAAUCUUAUGGCAUCUGUAGAAACACCAUUAUAUUUUACAGUGUUUGUCAUCCUUAUGAACCUCUUUAGAUGAACGUUGGAGUUUUCAAUUGGUAGUUCUUUGAAAAAGAGUAGAGGUUUGCCCCAUAGAUAUCAAGUCUGACUUAAGCUUGAAGUUGUUUGCCUCCACAACUAGGUUAGCUAUGCUUUUAAUAAAAUUUACCGCCAGAGUGAAAUAAUCCUCCAACGUUCUUGGUACUCUUUCACCCAUUGCUCUUAUUUGUCAUCUUCGCCUACAAGCAGUUCGUUCAAUUUUUAAACCAAAAAGAAAAAUAGACUCCUGGAAACGAGUGAACAUACACAUAAAAAUGAAGGAAAAAAAACCAAUAAAUUAAUAACAACUAAAUAAAUAUUAUUUUUUUUGUUUUUUUAAAAACUAAAGCGUAAAGCCAAAUUGAAAUGAUAAUAAUAACAAAGAAAAUUAAAUAUAUUAGUAAUAGUAACAUCGAAAAGUAAAUCAAACAUAUUUAUUUAUUUAUUUAUUUUUUGAAUAAAAUAAUUAAACUAAACAAAAAAAAGUCUAAAGUAAUAAAAAUCUUUUUCGCUUAAUAUUUGUAAAUUAAUAUAUGAAAACGGCUCCAAAAACUUGUUGUACAAAAUUCCGCGAUUGUGCAGGUUUGCUGAGUAGUAGUAUAUAAGAUUAUCAUAUUCAUAUAUAUUAAUUUAAGAACUACCAAAUUAAUUCAGAUUCUAUAUUAUUUUGACUAAUCAAAAUUAUUGUUAGUCUGCGAUAAUGAAAACAUAAUCAUACAAGAAUCUUAAAGAAAUUGAGUGAUUGAAAGAUUAGUAUCUAUGUUUAAUCAUACAAGAAUCUUAAUCUCAAUUCUACAUAUUAAUUGUAGUUGAUCAGUAGCCAAUUGACUGAUUAAGGCAUGCAAACUCGGUCAUGCCAAAUAUGUAAAUAAAACAAUAGAAUAAUUUGAUUUAGAUAAACAGCAAAAAUCUAAAAUGAAACUAAAAUUUAAAAAUAUGAUAUAGUAAAAAAGUAUCUUAAUCACAAGAUUUGGGCAAGACCUUAAAAGAGAGCUUAGUUACUGAUAGAUAUAUAAAAAUAAAGUAAAUAAUAAAAAUAUUAAUUAAUUAACAUAAAAUAAAUAAAGCCGUCAAGUAGUACAUUUUUUCCUCCAAAAUUUGAGACAAUUUGCUCCAGCUCUAACCACUUGUAAGUUUCCAAAGUGUUUGUCUUUAUUUUCUCUCUCUAACUUUUCUUACUCCUCUGAUUUGGUUUCUGGUAUAUGACUGUCGUUGAGUUUAUUUCUCCCCAUUGUGAUAGCAAGAAGAUCCAACUUCUAUGCAACAACAUUCCCCUCUUUUUGCAUCAACCUUCCCGCUUCUUUGUCAACAAUCUUUUUAAUCGCAACAAACUUCCUUCUUGUGAAUAUUAAACUUUAUAUUUUUACACUAAAAACUUAGUAGAUUUAACCAAUUUGAAUUAUUUUAUCAUCUCAUGAUUAAUUUUACAAAUACCCUAUUAAAAUUAUAGAAAAAUAGGUUUGUAAUUGUUUUUUUACUAAACUAUUAUAGAUUGUUACAAAGUGCAAACUGUAAAAUGAGGAAAUAAAAUAAAUUUAUAAGUUGAUCAAAGCAAGUUAAACAAGAAAUUAUAAGUACCAUUUUACAUUAUUUUUUACUUAGUUAUAAGAAAUUAUUAACACUAAAAUUCUCUAUUAUUUUUUACUCAUGGAAACAUUGACCAAUGUUAGAAAAAAUUAUUCACUAAUAAAAAAAUAUGAUGAUGAAAAAAUUAAUAUUUUUAUUUGGAUAACCAUAAGAAAGAAAAAAUAAUAACAAAAGAGUCUUAAUUAGUUACUCGUGUUUAAUAAUUAUUCAUAUAUUUAUAUUCCUAUAUUCAUUUACAUAUAAAUAGUAGUUUAAGUCUAAUAAUUUUGAUUGAAUAUUAUUAUAAUUAUCUUUUUUAUUCAACUAUUAUAACUUGUUACAAAGUGCAAACUGAGAAAAGAUGAAAUAAAAUAAAUUUAUAAGUGGAUCAUAGCAAGUUGAACAAAAAAAUUAUAAGAAGUACCUUUUAAUAUUAUUUUUUACUUAAAUAAGAAAAAAAACUAAAAUUGUGCAUUAUUUUUUACUCAUGGAACAUGUGACCAAUGUUAGAAUAUGAUGAAAGAAUUAACAUUUUUGUUUUGAUAACCGUAAGAAAAAAUAAUAACAACCACAAAACUAAAAAUUAUGCUAUAACUAAGAAUUAUAAUCGUCGAGUAAGAAGUGUAGCUUGUCAUUGAUCCUAAAUGACCAAAUGUUGAGUUUUUGAUUCUCUUUGAAGUUAUUUUGCGACACAAGAAGCCUCCAAUUCUUAAUAAGAUUAUAAACACUAGUUGGAUGCAUCUUUGACUUGUUGUGCAUCUUCCACAUUUUCAAAGGCAUAGUGAAUUCUCUAAAGGAAGAAUCCAACACAACCACUUCCAACCCAAGAGGUUUAUCUUCUUCCUUUGUAUCUAAUAUCUUUUUCUCCAUCUCAGUAAGAAAAUCACAUUUGAUUUUUUGAAGUGGCAUUGAAAGACGAUUGUUAUUUAUGUUGAGAUCCGUUUUAAACAACUUCUUACACAUAACAUAUCUUACUUUAGUACCAUUCAACUUUGUGAUCUUGUCCAUGACAUGAAUAGACAAUUUUGGUAGUUGUGAAGAUUCUUUUUCCUUUAUAAUAGUCUUUGGUUUCACUCUUCUUACUUCACAAGACAUGCUACCUUCAUUACUUGAACAACUCAUAUUUUUGUUAUUAUCCACUUUAUCUUUUUUUAUAGUGUUUUGUAAAAUAAGAGGUGACUUUGUUUCUUGACAAACACUUUGAUGUAGUUCUUCAAUUUGUGAUAACUCUUCAUUGGUGUAGAAAUGUGGAGCAACUUGUGCUAAAAUUGCAUUUAAAGUGAAAUGAACUUUAAGAUUGAAAGGAAUGCUCUUUUUCUUCUUCAUCAUACCUUCUAUAUCUUGCAAUAUUAUUUUUCUCUCCAUUAAGCUUUUUUUAUCUCUUACAAUAAUGUUGUGUUGUGAUUCAAAUUCAUGUAUCAAUAGUGUAUUUAUAUAUAAAGAGUUUUAUGGAGACUAAAAUUAGUCAAUUAUCUUAUUAUUAUUUAAAAAAGAUAUUAUCUUUUAGACUAGAUUUAGUGAAAAUGCAGUUCCAUAAAUUCUGAUUUAUUAUAUUAUCAAUUGUAAGAUCCUAUUUUUUUGGGGCAAAAUGGAUAAAAGAUUGGAUUCUAAAAUAUCUCAACGAAACUUAGAGCGCAAAGAGGCUCAAAACGGUGCUUAGAAUCCAACCGAGAAGAUACAUAUACAUAAUAAUUACGGUAAACGAAUCGGAGAAACCUCGCCGGAGAAAAUAAACGGAGGUAUCGGCUUUCUCUCUCGUUCAAGUUUAUCUCUCUGCCACGGUGGUAGAGAAAUUUUGAGCGGUUUCGGUUGAUGUAACUGAAUUUGAAGGAAGGGGUGCGCAUUUUAUAGUGCAUGCGAGAUUCGAGGCUCGUUGUUUGGACGAAACACAUUAGCUGUCUUUUGAUCAAAGCAGAGAGAGGCUUGGAAGCUAAUGUGCGCCGGAUGCGUGUUGGAUUGACUUGCAUCUUUUUAUUUCCUUCCUAUUCGGACUACUAAUUCCUUACAAGAUAUUUUGUUGAUAUGUUUAUCAAAGAAUCACCCCUCUCAUAAUAGUAAUUGUUAUCUAAAUGCUACAUGCAUUUCACUGCUGAAUAUAUCCAGUGAGACUUAAUUUUUAUGUAAUUUUGUGUGAGAUUAAUGCUCUUUUUCUUCCCCCCUUAUAUCCAACCAAACACAAUAUAUAACUAAAAUUCAUCUUUUUUCUUUCAUCUCACUUCUAUUAAAAUCUCACCUCUUAGUUAGAUAUAACUAAUUCAAAACUCAAACAUUAAUGAAUUUCAUAAUAAUGAAUGAAGUUUCAAUGACGAAGAUAAUAAUAGUACAUCUCAAAGUAAUAAAUGUCAAGAUCCAACACAUAAAAAAUUUAACAUAAAAGAAAUAAAAAAAUGUUGGAUAGACAAGAAAACAUUAAUUGAGGAAAACAUUUUAGUUUGGUGAAAUUUGUUGUGGACAAAGAUGAUGUCCAUCUUAAAAGAAACUUUGUAAUUUUGUUUGAUCUUUUUAAACUGAGAGUCAACACCCACCAAUAUAUAUAUAUAUAUAUAUAUAUAUAUAUAUAUACAUAUAUAUAUAAUAUUAUUUAAAAAUAUAUUUAUUUAAUAUAUGUUGAUAAAAAUUGAAUCAUCCAUCCAAAAUUCACUUAACCAAAUAUGUUCACCAAAUAUAUAUAUAUAUUGAGAAAGUUUUAAUUUUUUUGCAUAUUUUUGAAGAAGUAAUUCAAUCAAAGUUGAAGCAAAAUGAUAUAUGAAAAUCUACCAUUUGAAAUAAUCACUACGCCAAAAAUGACAUUUAGCAGCGCCCAUUUUACAGCGUUUGCUAAACACAAGCGCUGUUGUAAUUAUAUUUUAAAAAUAACGGAACCUAUUACAGCGCUUUUUGAUGCAAAGCGCUGUAACCCAAGCGCUGUAGUAGGUCAUAUAACGUUUGCGCAUCACGUUAUAAGGCCUUUACAUCGCUUGUCAAAAAAGCGAUGUAAAAGGAAGCGCUUUCGCGAAUCAGUUACAGCGCUUUUUUCACAAGCGCUGUAAAACACAUGCGCUUUCAUUGAAUUUAACUACCUAUUACAGCGCUUUUUUCACAAGCGUUGUAAAAUACAUGCGCUUUCAUUGAAUUUAACUACAUAUUACAGCGCUUUUUUCACAAGCGCUGUAAAACACAUGCGCUUUCAUUGAAUUUAACUACCUAUUACAGCGCUUUUUUCACAAGCGCUGUAAAAUACAUGCGCUUUCAUUGAAUUUAACUACGUAUUACAGCGCUUUUUUCACAAGCGAUGUAAAAUACAUCUUUAAAAUAAUUAUAUACGUUGGAAACCCUCAUAUCCUCUACAUCUUUCAAAUAAUUAUAUACGUUGGGAACCCUAAUAUCCUCUACGUACUGUGCGGCCAUCUACGUUGUCUAAGGUAUUUUUUACACAUGAUCUGUUAUAUUUUGUUACAUAUAUAUUAAAUCUACUAAAAAUUGUUAUAUAUAUAUAUAUAUAUAUAACUCAUACCACAUGAUCUGUUCUGUUUUGAAAUUGUUAGUUGAUAUUGGUUUCUUUUUGAAACUUGUUGAUAUGUUUUGAAAGCUUAUUAUUUUUGUUACUGCAUUUAUAUAGGUGGUAUAAUAUGGAUAGGAAAUGGAUUUCAGCCAAUCGAUUGUCAAAAGAGUAUGAAAUUGGAGUGAAGGAGUUUGUUGAGUUUGCAGUGAAGAAUGCAAAAGAUCCAAAUAGAGUAGUUUGUCCUUGUUUAAAAUGUUGUUUUGGAAAACGUGUUAGAGAAGAUGAAUUAGAAGGACAUCUAGUAUGUAAUGGAAUUGAUCAAAGCUACACAUGUUGGAUAAGACAUGGUGAGAAAAAAAAAGGAAACAUUAAUUUUGAGAAUAGUUCUACAUAUGCUUCAACUGAUUUCGAUACAGAUACAUAUGAGCCGGACCGAGUUGAUGAGAUUGCAAAAGCAGUUGAAGAAGAUCUUCGAGAUUGUCCUAAAAUGUUUGAAAGUUUGUUGAGUGAUGCAGAGAAAGAAUUAUAUAAUGGUUGUACUAAAUUCACAAGACUGUCAGCGAUAUUAAAGUUGUACAACUUAAAAGCGAGUAAUGGAUGGUCUGAUAAAAGCUUUACGGAAUUAUUAACACUCAUAAAAGAUAUGUUGCCAGAUGAUAAUGAACUUCCCAGUCGAACCUACGAGGCUAAACGGAUUUUGUGUUCUAUUGGAAUGAGUUACGAAAGGAUUCAUGCGUGUCCUAACGAUUGCAUUUUAUUUCGAAACGAAUAUGAACUACUUAAGGCGUGUCCGAAAUGCAAUGUCUCUCGAUAUAAGAAGAAAGAAUCUACUCCAGCAAAAGUCGUGUGGUAUUUUCCUAUAAUACCAAGAUUUAGGCGCAUGUAUCGCAGUGAAGAAGAUUCAAAACACUUGACAUGGCAUGCAGAUGAAAGAAUUAGAGAUGGAAUGUUUCGACACCCUGCAGAUUCCCCACAAUGGGCAAAAAUUGAUCACGAGUAUCCUGAAUUCGGGAUAGAGUCAAGAAAUCUAAGACUUGCACUUUCUACUGAUGGAAUGAAUCCACAUGGUCUUCAAAGCAUCUCACAUAGCACGUGGCCUGUGAUUUUGGUAAUAUAUAACCUACCUCCAUGGUUAUGUAUGAAGCGUAAGUUUAUGAUGUUGUCUCUGUUAAUUUCUGGACCCAAACAACCGGGGAAUGAUAUCGACGUAUACUUGACUCCUUUAAUUGAAGAUUUAAAAAUUCUGUGGGAGACAGGUGUGGAAGUUUAUGAUGGGUAUAGGAAAAAGUGUUUCAAUUUGAGGGCUAUGUUGUUCGGCACAAUUAAUGAUUUUCCAGCAUAUGGUAAUUUAUCAGGAUAUAGCAUUAAAGGUCAGUGUGCAUGUCCUAUAUGUGAAGAGAGUACAAAUUGGAUGCGGUUGAAACAUUGUAAGAAGAAUGUGUUUCUUGGACAUCGUAGAUUUUUACCUUAUAGUCAUCAGUAUCGUGGGUGGAGAAAUGCAUUCAAUGGAAAAUCAGAGGAAGGUAAAGCUCCUUUAGCACCGACUGGAUAUCAAAUACUUGAAAAAGUACAAGGUUUGACCAAUAAAUUUGGCAAACCUUUUGCGGGAGAGCUGGUGAAAACUGGGUGGAAGAAAAAGUCAAUUUUCUUUGAAUUGCCAUAUUGGAAGUCAUUGUAUGUAAGACAUUUCCUCGAUGUGAUGCAUAUUGAAAAAAAUGUAUUUGAAAGUGUUAUUGGUACGUUACUCAAUGUUCCAGGAAAGUCUAAAGAUGGCGUCAAUGCAAGAUUGGACUUGGUCGAUAUGGGAAUAAGAAAUGAACUGGCUCCAGUAAAGAAAGGAAAUCGCACAUAUCUACCUCCAGCCGCUCAUACUCUAUCUAGAAAGGAAAAAAUUGUUUUAUGUAAAUUUCUACACGAAGUUAAAGUUCCAGAAGGAUACUCUUCGAACAUUAAAAAUUUGGUUUGUAUGAAAGACCUCAAGUUAAAAGGUUUGAAGACCCAUGAUUGUCAUAUUAUAAUGGAGCAUUUGCUACCAAUAGGUAUACGUUCCAUUUUACCUGAAAAAGUUCGACUAGCCUUAACUAGAUUAUGUUUCUUCUUCAGGGAAAUUUGUAGUAAAGUGAUCGACCCUCAGAAAUUACCGACAUUGCAGAGGGAAAUUGUUGUUACUUUGUGUGAGCUUGAAAUGUAUUUCCCACCAUCGUUUUUUGAUAUAAUGGUUCACCUUACUGUUCAUCUGGUUAAGGAGACACAACUUUGUGGGCCAGCUUAUAUGAGAUGGAUGUAUCCGAUAGAACGAUAUAUGAAAAUAUUAAAAGGGUACGUAAAAAGUAGAAGUCGACCAGAAGGUUGUAUUGCUGAACGAUACAUUGUUGAAGAGGCUGCUGAAUUUUGUACUGAAUAUCUGUCCAAUGUUGAAUCCAUAGGGCUUCCCAUGUCUCGUCAUUCGGGAAGACUAUCAGGAGAAGGGAUAACUGGAAGGAGACUACUGACUAUAUCAAGGACAGAAUGGGAGCAGGCACAAUUGUAUGUUCUGCACAAUGAUGAUGAGGUUCAACCGUAUGUUACAAUACACAUUGAUCAGUUAUCUCGUUUGAACAUGAAUAGGAAUCAAAAUUGGAUAACUCGAGAGCACAAUCGAAGUUUUGUAACAUGGUUAAAAAAUCACAUAAUGUCAAAAUUUGAUAUAGACCCCGGAUCAAUUUCAAAUAGAUUGAGGUGGCUAGCAAAUGGUCCGAGCUUACAUGUCUUUUCUUACACUGGUUAUGUUAUUAACGGCUACACAUUUUAUACCAAAGAACAAGAUGAUCAGACCACUAUGCAAAAUAGUGGAGUCACUCUCGUAGCUGAAGCGAUGCAUGUCUCAAGUGCAAAAGACAAAAACCCAAUAUAUGCAAAUCUAUCAUAUUUUGGGGUUAUCGAGCGCAUAUGGGAGUUAGACUACACAAUGUUUCGUGUUCCCAUAUUUGGUUGCAAGUGGGUCGAUAAUAAUAAUGGCGUUCGGAUUGAUGAGUCAGGAUUCUUGCUUGUCGAUUUUAAUAGGGUGGGAUACAAAGACGAGCCUUUUAUUUUAGCGUCGCAAGCUCAACAAGUGUUUUAUGUCACUGAUCCUUCUAAUGAUAAAUGGUCUGUUGUCCUAUCGACCAAUAAAAUAAGUGAUGAUAACAAUAAUGAUGAAGAUGUUGGUAAUGAUCUUUUAUUUGCAACAUCACAACAACCACAUGAAAUUGAUUCAACUGAUGAUGGUUUAUAUCUUAGAGAUGAUCAUGAUGAGGGAAUUUGGAUUAAUCCAUCGUUUCGUAUUGUAAAUGGACAAACAAAUGUGAAUGUCACCAGGAAAAGAAGAAGGGCAUCUUAAUGUAUAUGUUUAAUUGUUUUAUAUAAGCUAUGCAUGUAAUCUGAACUGUGUUAUUGUAAAUAUGCAUGUAAUCUGAAUUGAGUGUUUUAUACUAAGUUCUGAUUAAUUUAUUUUCUGCUUAUAUUUAGCUUGAUUUGAGUGUUUUAUACCAAGUUCAUGUAACAAUGAGUGUUUUAUAUUUAGCUUGAUUUACAUGAACUGAACUGAAUAUAAAUUAGUAAUUUACAUGAACUGAACUGAACUGAAUAGAGAGAUUCUCUUUUGCUCAGUGCAUAUAUAUAUAGAUUCUUCAGAAGUUCUCAUUUCUAAUAAUUCAUCAUCUCCUAAAGUAUUGUGAUAAAGACAAUGAUAACAAUAUUUUUAAUCCAAUAAACAAUGAUAAAAAUGUUUUUAAUGUCAUCCCAACCCAAAUAAACCAAACACAAAAAUAAAAUAAAGAGACAUUUUACAGCGCUUAUCUUAAAAAGCGCUGUAAAAGAUCCUUUUAAAAAUAAAAUAAUGAGUGUUUUAUACCUUUUACAGCGCUUUUCACACAAAGCGCUGUAAACGACUCUUUUGAAAGUGAGUAAAAAAGACAUUUUACAGCGCUUGUUUGCCAAAGCGCUGUAAAAUGGCUUUAAAAAUAAUAUUCAUCAGACACCUAAUUUCUUCAAACACCUUGUACGCAUCAUGGGAUUCAAAAAACAUCAGACACAAACCCAUUUCUUCAAAAACCUUGUACGCAUCAUGGGAAUCCAAAAAACAUCAGACACAAACCCAUUUCUUCAAAAACCUUGUACGCAUCAUGGGAAUCCAAAAAACAUCAGACACAAACCCAUUUCUUCAAAAACCUUGUACGCAUCAUGGGAAUCCAAAAAACAUCAGACACAAACCCAUUUCUUCAAACACCUUGUACGCAUCAUGGGAAUCCCCAAAAACACCAGACACAAACCCAUUUUUCGCAACAUGGCAAUGAUCCUGAAUACCAAUUAAGUUUCGAUUUAAGAAGGAAAGAGAAUGUAAAGAGAUAAAUAGGGUAUUGAGGUGGAGAUUGAAUUGUGAAAGAGUAAGCUUUGAUGUUUGUGAAGAAGAUGCAUAAAAGGAGAAGAGUUUGGUGAAGAGGAAGGGAUUUUUGUGGUGACCAGUUACUGCUAUGUGGGUUUGCAUGUUGAGCUUGUUUAAAAAAUAACAUAACAAAACACAAAAACAAUAAGGCCUUUUAACAGCGCUUAUUUGGAAAAAGCGCUGUAAAAGAGCCUUCUAAAAUUAACCUAAAGAGACAUUUUAGAGCGCUUAUGUGGAAAAGCGCUGUAAAAGGCUUUAAAAAACAUUCAUAUAACAUAAUAACACACGGAGGUCUUUUACAGCGCUUAUUUGGGAAAAGCGUUGUAAAAGAGUCUCUUAAAAUUAACAUAAAGAGAUAUUUUAGAGCGCUUAUGUGUAAAAGCGCUGUAAAAGACAUUCAAAUAACAUAAUAACACAGAGAAGUCUUUUACAGCGCUUAUUUGAAAAAAGCGCUGUAAAAGAGCCUUUUAAAAAUUUAACUAAAGAAGCCUUUUAGAGCACUUAUGUGUGAAAGCGCUGUAAAAGGCAUUCAAAUAACAUAAUAACACACGGAGGUCUUUUACAGCGCUUAUUUGGGAAAAGCGCUGUAAAAGGCGUAAAAGGCAUUCAAAUAACAUAAUAACACACGGAGGUCUUUUACAGCGCUUAUUUGACAAAAGCGCUGUAAAAGGCGUAAAAGGCAUUCAAAUAACAUAAUAACACACGGAGGUCUUUUACAGCGCUUAUUUGACAAAAGCGCUGUAAAAGGCGUAAAAGGCAUUCAAAUAACAUAAUAACACACGGAGGUCUUUUACAGCGCUUUUUGGGAAAAGCGCUGUAAAAGAGCCUUUUAAAAAUUUAACUAAAGAAGCCUUUUAGAGCGCUUUACAAAAUAAGCGUUGUAAAAGGCUUAUAAAAAGCGCUGUAAAAGUGUUACGUAUAUAUAACAGUUACCUCUUCAGUUUCCUCUUCAUUACGUAAACUUCACUAUCAUCUCAACCUUCAUCGUUCUUCUCUUCUUUUACAAACCCUAUCAUCCCGUCUAUUACGAACCUUAUUUCCACGAUCAUCUCCUUCGUUUCGAACCUUAUUUCCAUCCAAGAUCAUCUCUCCCAUUUCACACAAUAUAUUUUCAUUGAAAUACGUAACCCUCAUUACGUAUUUCUUCAAUAUCCUAUUUCUUUGAACCAUAUUUCUGUGAACUUUCUGCGUUCCCUCUUUUCUUUACAUUUCAUCUUUCUUCGAACCCUUUUCUUUAGAUUUCAUCUUUCUUCGAACCAUUAUUCAGGUAUUGAUGUUAUAAAUUUUUUGUAAUCAUUAAAAUGCAUGUUGAGCUUUUUAAAGAUAUACUGAUACAUGUUGAGUUUGUUUAUAAUAAUGCAUGAUGCAUGUUGAGCUUGUUGAUGUUAUACUAAAGUGCAUGUUGAACUUGUUGUAGUUAAAUGGAUACAAACAAAGAUUUAGAAGUUCAAAAUGAAGAAGUUGGCACCUCUAAGACUUACGAAAAAGAAGUCAAACGUGGUGCAACUAUCAUGCAAAGGGUGAUUAAAGCACGGAGCAGUGGCAUUAAAUUUGAGGUAUACUAUAUAUACUCUGUUUGCUGUGUGUUUUUUUAUCUUUUUUUAGGGUUUAGGGCAUGUACUUACUAUAUGAGUUUAUUAGGUUGGCUGGAACGAGAGUGGUCAGCCAGUUGACCCCAACAGCUCCAUGUUUGUAAGCUACAUUGGGGCUGUUGUUCGUCAAAAUGUCCCAAUAACAAUAGACAACUGGAGAGAUAAGGCGUUGAAGGAUGCCAAAGAUAUCAUCUGGAAUGACAUUCAAGUAAAUAUUUUGAUCUACUCUUUUGUCAUUUAUAAUUUUUUUUCUGUAAAAUACAUUACUUAUAAUUGUUUUCAUUGCAGACCACUUUUGUUCUUGAUGAGGAACGAAAGUCAUAUGUUUUGAGAGUUGCUGGGAAAAUCCAUCGUGGAUUUAGAUCCCAUCUCUCAAAUUUCUAUCUAAAAGAUAGAGAAGGAAACACAAAUGCUGAACCUCCAAAGAUAUAUCAACAUUAUAUAUCAAAGGAUGAAUGGAGUGCAUUUGUUUCCAAACGUUCUGACCCGGCGUUUGUCGUAAGUUAUUAAUUUAUUAGCAUUUGUGUUUUAUUAUUCAUAUUCGUAGCGUAUUUUAAAUUUUUACACAAUUGCAAUUUUUUUUUUAUAUAGAAUAUUAGUACGGCAAAUCGCGAACGGGCAAGCAACCCAAAACACCCAUACAAGAAAUCACGUAUGGGAUAUGCACGCCUUGAACAAAAAAUUGUAAGUAAUUAAACAUCACUUGUAAUUUGUAUUAUAAACUAUAGUGUGUAACUAAUUUGUAUUAUUUUGUUUAUGAUUUUAACGAAUAGAGAAAAGACACCCAAGCCGAUCAACCCUUGGGUCGUCAUAUCUUAUGGAAGGAAGCGCGUGUUAACAAAGAAGGAGUGGUUGAUAAUGAAAAUGUCAAGAAAGUUGUAGAACUUUGUGUAAGUAUAUUAUCACUUUAAUAUUUUUUAAUAUUGUAUUUUAAAAAUGCUAUUGAACUUAUCUUUUUAAUGUUACAUGUAUUUUAGGAAACUAUUGAACAAAGUUCUGAAACUCAAGAGGGCAACAAGGAUACGUGCAGGGACAUUCUUGGGAAAGUGUUUAAUGUCCCUGAGUAUUCCGGUCGAGUGAGGGGGAAAGGAUUUGGCGUAACUCCCAAAAGCUUUUUUCCUCAAGAGAAGCGCCAAAAACCUUCCAACGAGGAAGUAUUAGAGAAGCUCAGAAUCUUAUCGGAGCAAGUGGCACUCUUGGUGAAUACGAAUAAAGACAAGCAACUUCCGGUUCAGCUCCAACCUGAAAUACAAAUGGAGAGUGAAACCGGGAGUUGCAACGUCGGUUUGAAGAGUAUUCCCGAGGUAAUUAAUUACUUACUACUUACUUGCUUAUGUAAUUACUUAUGUAUUAAACAAACUUAUAUAUUAACUGUACUUAUGUUUUAACUAUUGAUGUAGGGUGUCACUACAUGUGUCCUAUACUUGUCCUCGCCGACUCAACGGAAGGUGGGAAAAGGAAUAUUGCACAAUACUUCGGGAGAAGUAUUGCACAAUAUUCCGAUCCCCGCGGGCCAUGUCAAAGUAUCGCCUACGGUUGCUUUCGAACCAACUGCACCGUUGCCCAUACCGGACAACGAUGGAGAUAUGAAGUUCUUAAGCGACGCUAUUGGCAGUUACGUGGCAUGGCCCACACACCUUGUUGCCCUCGAAAAAAAGAUUCCCAAGGACAAAUCAGUUACAUCUCCCGAAAAGGUUUGUCACAUUUAUUGCCUAAGGUUUUUUAUUUUUUCAGAUUCAAUAAACUAACAUUUUACCUCAUUUUUGUAGGUCCAAAUAAAUAAACCACCCCUACAGCCAAAAAAAGGCAGCAGACCUCAAAAAUUGGAGGUUAAUAGGGCUGCCAAACUACAAAGGCUGGAGGGUAAUAAAGCUGCAAAACUUGCAGCAACAAAAAAUCUGGAUCGGGGAAAAUCGGUCGCUGCUGCUGCUGCUCCUAAUAAAAGUCAGCCACGCCUUGGUAAAUACGGGGCGUGUCUUGACAUCCAAAUAAAAAGGAACAUGGGCAGCAGCAACGAUUCGCCCAUUGUACAAAUGAAUCAAGACAUCUUUGGAGAUGAGUAUAUUGAAUACCUCGAAAAGGAGCAAAUGUACGAUCUUCUCGAACAUAAGGAGCUGAGUGUUACUGUAAUCAGCUUGUACAUAAGGUAAAAAAUACUUUUAAUUGCAUUUAUUUGUAAUUAAUUAAAUGUAUUGGUAAUUAAUCUAGUUUAAAAUUUUCAUUGAAGGUUUUUGUACGAGAAGGUCGUGUGCACGAGGAAACUGUCAAAUAAAUACUCAUUCUUGUCUCCGCAUAAGAUGUCGAUGUUCAAACUCGAUCCAGACAAUGUAAAACACUACAUUGUAGAUAUGUUUUUAAGAAAUAAAGAAAGUGAUAAAUUGUUCUUGGCACCAUAUAAUUCAGGGUACGUAAUUUUAUCUUUUUUAAUUGAUGAGAAUUUAAUUUAUUAGUUGUCUAUAAACAAAAUUGCUUAACCAAUUUUUUGUUGUUGUAGGGCACAUUGGGUGCUAUUUGCAAUCAAUGCGGUCUCUGAAGUGAUAUACUAUUUGGAUCCCGUGCACGGCGAUUACACCAAUCACCCCGGAAUAAAGAAUAUGCUCGACACGUAAGUAAUAUUCAUUUAUUUCUUACAUAUAUAUAUUUAUAUAUAUAUAUAUAUAAAUAUAUAUAUGUAAGAAAUAAAUGAAUAUUACUUACGUGUCGAGCAUAUUCUUUAUUCCGGGGUGAUUGGUGUAAUCGCCGUGCACGGGAUCCAAAUAGUAUAUCACUUCAGAGACCGCAUUGAUUGCAAAUAGCACCCAAUGUGCCCUACAACAACAAAAAAUUGGUUAAGCAAUUUUGUUUAUAGACAACUAAUAAAUUAAAUUCUCAUCAAUUAAAAAAGAUAAAAUUACGUACCCUGAAUUAUAUGGUGCCAAGAACAAUUUAUCACUUUCUUUAUUUCUUAAAAACAUAUCUACAAUGUAGUGUUUUACAUUGUCUGGAUCGAGUUUGAACAUCGACAUCUUAUGCGGAGACAAGAAUGAGUAUUUAUUUGACAGUUUCCUCGUGCACACGACCUUCUCGUACAAAAACCUUCAAUGAAAAUUUUAAACUAGAUUAAUUACCAAUACAUUUAAUUAAUUACAAAUAAAUGCAAUUAAAAGUAUUUUUUACCUUAUGUACAAGCUGAUUACAGUAACACUCAGCUCCUUAUGUUCGAGAAGAUCGUACAUUUGCUCCUUUUCGAGGUACUCAAUAUACUCAUCUCCAAAGAUGUCUUGAUUCAUUUGUACAAUGGGCGAAUCGUUGCUGCUGCCCAUGUUCCUUUUUAUUUGGAUGUCAAGACACGCCCCGUAUUUACCAAGGCGUGGCUGACUUUUAUUAGGAGCAGCAGCAGCAGCGACCGAUUUUCCCCGAUCCAGAUUUUUUGUUGCUGCAAGUUUUGCAGCUUUAUUACCCUCCAGCCUUUGUAGUUUGGCAGCCCUAUUAAUGGGCAUUUUACAGCGCUUUUUUGAGAAAGCGCUGUAAAAUGCAGACCCAUAAUAUGAAAUUAUGGUUGGGCAUUUUACAGCACUUUUUUGAGAAAGCGCUAUAAUAUGCACACCCAUAUAUGAAAUUAUGGGUGGGCAUAUUACAGCGCUUUUGUGAGAAAGCGCUGUAAUAUGCCCACCCAUAUAUGAGUUAUGGGUGUGCAUUUUAGAGCGCUUUGUUGAGAAAGCGCUGUAAAAUGCACACCCAUAACUCAUAUAAUGGGGUGCAUAUUACAACGCUUUUUGUGAAGAAGCGCUGUAAAAUGUACAUAACAAGCGCGCGUUGUAUUUACAUGUUUUAUAGCGCUUUUUUAAAAGCGCUGUUGUAUCAUUUACAGCGCUUGUUUCCACAGCGCUUAUUUUUUUGAAAAAGCGCUGUAAAUGACUUAAAAAAAGCGCUGUAAAAUCCGUUUUUUCGCGUAGUGAAUCCCAAAUUCAAGUUCAUUCACAAAGUUCAAAGAUAAAAAAUAAACAAAGACAGAAUAGAAUGAAAAACCAAAUUACUCUUUGAUCCUCUUAUAUCAUCAGAGUAUCAAGAGCUAAUUCAUAAUGUGCUUGGGAUAUGAUUUGAACGCAAGACAACAUAGUGAAGCAACACUUAUAACAUCAAACGAAACCAUCAGGUCAAAGAAGAGGUUGACGUAGCUAUUAUGUGUUUCAAUUCAAUUAUCUAUAACACAACUUAAUUUAUUAAUAUGUAAUCAUGCUACAGUGGUUUUUACUUGUUGGUUAUUUACAAUUGUCUAUUAGCCUGUAUGUUUAAAGAAGUCUAAAAUUAAACACAUAAGUAAUUGCUAAUAUUAAACACAUAAGCAAUUUUUAUUUAGGAGUGAUCUAAUAAAUCCAUUUAACAAGGAGUAUUUUUAUAAAAAUAUAGUUAAUACAUCUAAUAAUUUAAAAGUAGUUUUAUGAAAAUGGACUAUAUUAAACACACAAGUAAUUAUUUCUAAACUUAAACACAUGUGUUCAAUAAUUAGUGAUAGAUUUGUAUUCCUAUAUUCAUUUACAUAAGCAGUAGUUUAAGUCUAAUAAACUUUGUUAGCUCAAUAGAAAGAAACAAAUUGUGAGAAAAAAUACCGAUAUAAAGAAACGGAGAGGAGGUCACAACGGAGAGAAACAGUCAAGAGAGGAAAAAUGAAGGAGUUGUGAGAGAAACAGAGAGCGAGGAGAGAAACGGUUGUGGGUUGUGGCGACGAGGAGAGAAACAAAGAGCUAGGUGAAAAGCCGUGAGGUGGGCGGCACAAUUUCAACAAGUGGACGGUGGGCGGCGAGGUGAGAACAGAGGAGGAUGAUACAAUACUAUUGAUACUAGUGAGAGUGAAUGAAUGAGAAUUUGUUGUGGUAGAGUGUGAUUGUGUGUGUGUGAGGAUAUCACUAGGGUUUGCAAUUAAGCUUAAUGGGUGAUGAGUCUGAUUGUUGUAUAAAAAAAAUUGUCUUAUUGGGUUAGAUUUUUAUCUAAAAAGUAAAUAUAUAAAAAUAUGAAUAGUGUUGGUUUGUUUCGGUUUUUAUUGGUUUUUUAAAACUAAAUUCUAAUACCCAAACCAAUAAUCUUUGGUUUACAUUGGUUUGAUUUUUUACCCGCACCAAAAAUAACGGGUAAUGUUUGGGUUGGUUUGGAUGUUCGGUUUGAUUGGAUUUAUUUUGUCCACUUACACCCCUAUGUUAAGGAUUUAUUUUACUUCAAAUUAGGCUUAACUAUUUUAAUUUUUGUCCAUCUGAAGACUCCUUAACUUAUUCACAAUAGAAAGUAAUUGUGUCAAAACUAAGGAACCUCUUUAUCUAGCACACAUAAUUUCAAACUUUCAAUUUAGCCAUAACAAUAUGAUCAUCAUUAGGCCUUGCUCAAAAAUCAAAUGCAAUAAUGACUUAUAGGAUAAACUUCAAACACAUGAUUUAAGUAAAACAAGCCAACAAAGAACCAUAAAAAACACUACAAGAGGUCAAACAUCAAAAUUUAUCUUCUCCCUCCACAAUAGCAAUAAGCACGGUCCUCAAGGAAGAAUAUUAGAGUAGACUAAAUGAAUAAAUAAAAGAGAGAAAGUAAAAAUGAAUUCUUUGAAAGAGAUUGUUGUUAAAGCUUUUAUUUUCUAAAAAUAAAAAUAAUCAACAAAAAUAAUAAAUUUAAACUAGAAUAAAAUAUAAAAUAACUACAGUUUGUCUCUUGCAAAACAUUUGUUUGUUUAACGUUUCGAGCCUAACGAUAACGUAAGAAUUAAUCAGACGGCUUUCCCAUAGAAAAUUUCACCAUUAAAGCAUUACUCCUUAUUAACUUUCUAAUCAUCGAUUAUAUUAUUUUUCCUUUUUUACAUGUGGUGAAUGAGUUUCAGGAGAUGAUAAAAUUCUAAUUUCAUCUUCAUCCACCAUUAUGUUAGGGCCAUCGAAAUAAGAUAUUUUUCCAAAUGGUUUUGCCUUUUGAAAGCCUCAAAAUUGUCAUAACUAACCUUAUCAUUGAUAUUAUUAGCCUCAAUGAAGCUACAAGAAACAAAUGAAAAUGAGUUUUUUUUAAAAGAAUUAAACACUUUAAAUUCAGUCUCUUCAUCACCCAGUCUGAAAGUAAAUUUUUCCAGCUGAACAUCGAUCAAAGUUUUUUCGGUGGCCAAGAAGGGUUUAUCCAAUAUAAUUGGUACUUCAUCAUCUUCCUCUGUUUCUAAAACAACCAUAUCCGUAGGAAAAAAAUAAAUUUAUCCACUUUUACAAACACAUCCUCUAUUAUCCCACGAGGGUAGAUAAUAGAUCAGUCAGCAAGCUAUAGAGAAAUGUUAGUCGAUUAGGGUUCUUGUAAGCUGAACUACCUGAAAAACAAGAAGAGGCGUCAAAUUAAGAGUCGCUCCUAAAUCACAAAGUGCAACGUUUUCAAGAUAGUACAAGGAAUGGUAAAAAUAACAGGAUCCUUAAGCUUAGAGGGCAACGUUUUCAAGAUUAUAGCAAAGCAUUCCUUGUUAAGCUUAACCAUCUCAAAGUCCUCUAGUUUCUUUUUAUUAAAAAUGAGUUCUUCUAAACAUUUAGCAUACUUGGGCAUUUGAACAAUAGUUUCAACAAAAGUAAUAUUGAUAUGCAAUCUUUUAAAAAUCUCAAGGAAUCUAGCAAACUGCUUAUCAUUAUCCACAAUUUUCAAUCUUUGAGGGAAUGGAAUACUUACCCUGAUUAACUCGUGGUCUUCCUCGAUUUUGUUAGAACAAAGCUCAUUAUAAUGUACCUUUUUCCAUUUUGGUGUCAAGUUGUCCUUCCUUUUUAGGCACGGAAAUGACAUCAUUUCCACUCCUAAGCGUGAUAGCUUUAGCUUGUUCUUUUUGUAUUUGGCUUGUUUUUAGUAGGCAAUGAUCCCACAAACCUUUUGUUGAGACAAAAUCUCUCUCAAAUAGUUUUAAUGAUAACAAAAUUAAUUAAAAGAUUAUGAUUGAGGUUAAUGACUAAUAUAUGCUUUUGAGUGUAUCCAUAUAAGGAAAACAGAUUAUUAAUCAUUAAGACAAAAAGAAGAAAAAAUUUGGUUCAAUGCUGAAUAUGGAAAAUGCCGAGGAUGGCCUCAUGAGUUGGUGAAAACACUCUUGUGCGACUAAAGAAUGAAUUAUUUGAUUCAUUCAACAAAGGCAAAAUAGUAUUAAAGAAUGAAUUGUUUGAUUCAUUCAACAAAGGCAAAAUAGUAUUAAAGAAUGAAUUGUUUGAUUCAUUCAACAAAGGCAAAAUAGUAUUAAAGAAUGAAUUGUUUGAUUCAUUCAACAAAGGCAAAAUAGUAUUAAAGAAUGAAUUGUUUGAUUCAUUCAACAAAGGCAAAAUACUAUUAAAGAAUGAAUUGUUUGAUUCGUUCAACAAAGGCAAAAUACUAUUAAAGAAUGAAUAAAGAAAAGCUUUUGAAGAAAAGUAGUAAGGAGGCAAAAGAAAGGUACGAGGAAGGAUUACACAAGGAUGGGUCUAUAGUCAACAUCUUGAAAAACAUCCCAACACUUUAUGAAAGCAACCCAUCAUAUCAUAGGCAAAGACUACAAGUAGACCUAUAAGAUCACUCUUGUGUGAUUUAAAAAUAUUAUAAAGUCAAUCUUCAAAAAGGCAACAACAAACAAGUCAAAAAUGAAAUGAUCACAUGUCUUAAGGCAAGGAGAGAGAAAAGGACUUCACAUGUGAAGCCUUGAAGAAAGGAUUGAAAAAGACAUCACAUGUUCUUACAAGCAUUAAAUGAAGGAAAGAGAAAAAGUUCACAUGUGAAGCUUUAACAAGGCAUUGAAGAAAGGAGAACGAAAAUGACUUCACAUAAACUUACAAACAUUAAAGAAAGGAAAGAGAAAAGGACAACACAUGCCCCAAGUACCCAGAAAAUCUGCUACCUCGUACUUGAACAUGGAAUGCAUCUAUCCAAGGAGUUGAAUGACAUUUUCGUAAUUAUGAAGAAAAACCUUGGCAUUUCUAAAAUGGAUUUUCCAACGGUCAUAAAAAGCUUGGCAUAUGAAAUGAACAUUAUAAGACUUCUAUAAAAUGCAGCAAGCUCAUCUCAUCAAAGACACAACACAUUGCAUUAAAAAGAUCAAGGAUCUUAAAGCUUUUAAGAAGCAACGUUCAUCCUCUCUUCAUACUUUCUACAAUCCUACAUUAGAUCUUUGUUAAUCUUUUGAGAAAGUAUUUAAAAUCAAUCACUCUCAUAUCACAUUGUAAUUUCCACGUGAGAUACACUUGGAAAUAUUUGAAAUCUGAUUGUAAGCUUGGUGAAGCUUAAGAAUACACAAGUUGUAAUCAUCCUCUNNNNNNNNNNNNNNNNNNNNNNNNNNNNNNNNNNNNNNNNNNNNNNNNNNNNNNNNNNNNNNNNNNNNNNNNNNNNNNNNNNNNNNNNNNNNNNNNNNNNNNNNNNNNNNNNNNNNNNNNNNNNNNNNNNNNNNNNNNNNNNNNNNNNNNNNNNNNNNNNNNNNNNNNNNNNNNNNNNNNNNNNNNNNNNNNNNNNNNNNNNNNNNNNNNNNNNNNNNNNNNNNNNNNNNNNNNNNNNNNNNNNNNNNNNNNNNNNNNNNNNNNNNNNNNNNNNNNNNNNNNNNNNNNAUUUGAAAUCUGAUUGUAAGCUUGGUGAAGCUUAAGAAUACACUAGUUGUAAUCAUCCUUUGUCUGAGUUUGAUCUGUUUGAACAUUAGUGAAAUCUCACAAGGGUGUGAGGACUAGAAGUAGCCAUCUUUGGGUGAACCAGUAUAAAAACAAUGUGUGUCAAUCUUAUAUUUCCCUUUCACUCUUUAGCUUAGUUCAAAUCUGAAGGUUUUGAAAAACCCACCCUCGGGCUUGCCAUCCUCUACAAGAGGAUAGUUUUUAAAACACUUGAAAAUUAUUUUUAACAGCAAAAUCUCUAUUCAACCCCCCUUCUAGUGAUAUUUAGCUACAUCAAUUGACAUCAGAGCAAGGUCCUCUAGAAAAAUACACCUAACAGUGUAAGAGAAAAAGAUCCAAAAAUGUCUAAAGCUAAGUAUAUUCCUGAAGGAGGAUCAUCCAACCGACCUCCCUACUUUGAUGGCACAGAUUACUACCACUGGAAAGGUAAGAUGAGACUAUUUCUCAUAUCACAAGACAACAAUAUAUGGUCUAUGGUGGAAAAUGGAGAUCAUGUUAUCAGAACCAACAACGCAGAUGCAACCUCUGAUGUGAAACCUCAAGCACAAUGGACGGCUGGUGAAAAUGCAAAGGUACUCCUAAACUCUAAAGCUCAUUUAUUUCUAACGUGGGCUUUGAGCAGGGAAGAGUAUGAUAGAGUCGAAGAGUGCAAAAGCGCUAAGGAGCUCUGGGACACUCUAAGGAUCCAUCAUGAAGGAACAAGUCACGUGAAAGAAGCAAGAAUUGACAUGGGAGUAAGAGAUUUCGAACUAUUCGAAAUGAAGGAAGAGGAAACUAUUGAUGAAAUGUUCUUAAGGUUAACAAUCAUAUUGAAUAACUUGAGAUCUCUUGGAAAGGUAUACUCCGUUCAAGAAAGGAUAAGAAAAAUCCUAAGGAGUUUACCAAAAGAAUGGAGGCCAAUGGUGACUGCCAUUAUAGAAGCAAGAGACUUGACCAACAUGAAAUUGGAAGAUUUAGUUGGUACUCUAAGAGCUCAUGAACCAUUAUUGCUAGCUGACAAACCUAGCAGAAAAGGAAAAAUGGUUGCGCUAAAAACAAGUCAAGCAGAAAGUUCAUCCUCUAAGAAGACUGAAGAUGUCAUGAAAAAGGAAAGCUCGGAGUAUUCUCUAUCUGAGGAAGAGGAUGAACUCGCUCUGAUUUCCAGAAGAAUCCAGAGGAUGAUAAAUCGAAGAGGACAAGAUAGAAGAUCUCCUCAAAAAGAAAAAAUUGAUAAAAGUCAGAUAACUUGUUUUGGAUGCAACAAGAUGGGACACUACAAAACUGAGUGUCCUCUCAACAAAAGGAACUCAAGAAUAUUUCUCUACAAAAACAAAUCCAUGAUGAUUACUUGGGAUAACAGUGACGAGUCAUCCUCUGAGCAAGAGAAGGAAGAAGAAGCCAACCUCUGUCUCAUGGCAAAAUCAGAAACUGAAAAAGUUCAUCCUCUGAUCAACAAAAGAAAGCCUUGGUACUUGGACAGUGGUUGCUCAAGGCAUAUGACAGGGGAUAAGCAUUGCUUUAUUUCCUUGGAGAUAAAGGAUGGAUGAUCAGUCACAUUUGGUAACAAUGAUAAAGCUCAAAUAAAAGGAUUAUCCAUAUUUGAGUUUCUAGACUACCAAAUCGAGUUGAGAUUUGAUUAUCCAUAUCCAAAAACCUUUUGUUUGUCUUCUUUAUGAAUUUAUCUAGUACAUCUUGAAAGAUAUGGUUUCCUCUCUUCUUGCCUUUGCACAUGUGGUUGCUUGAAAAAAGUAGAGUUUUACUCUUGUUGUUCUUAUCCCCAAGAGAAAGCAGGGUGAUUCUUCCAACCUGGAUUGUAGGUAGAAGAAUAAAAGUCAUUCUAAGCGCGUUUGGUGUUGGUGACAUAGUUAGCUUCCUCAAUAUGAGUUGUUGGAAUUGAAUGAGUUUGUGUUUUACUUUAAAUGGCCUUCAACCUUUAAUUUGUUUGUACCAUAUAAUUUAACAGAACACCUAUACAAGGAUGUCCAAUUUUUUGCAUAUACUUCACCAAAGCAUCUUGCAUACUCUUCUUGGCAUCACCAUCUUUUUGGCUGACAUAGUUGGCUUCCUAAAUCUACUUAGUACAUGGAUGCCCAAUUUACUUUCACCAUUAAGUCCAAAAAAUUCACCAACAUCACCGAAAGGAGUGCAUGUAGAAGUUUGUUGAGCUUGUGCUGACAUAAGAGUCACAAGCUACUUAGUGAUUCUAUUUACCUCCAUUUUUAAUGUGUUAUUAGCCUCCACUUUGUACAUCCCAACUUACUGUUUAACAUGUCUAUUACUUGAACUCCAUUGACAACUAUUAGUAUCUAUUACUUCCACAAAGGCAUAUACUUCUUCAUGUUCUUUUUUAGAAUAUAGCCUCCACCAGCAACAUCAAUACUAAUUCUACUUUGAAUUGAAAGUCUAUUGUGCAAAAUUUGAACAAGUUGUCAUAUAUGGUAGCCAUGAUGCAUACAACUUUUGAUCAUGUGUUGGAAUCUUAUGCCUCAUAUAAGAAUGAAUGCUAAAAUUGAAAAAAGUUGGCGAUGUCAUUCCCAAGUUUAGCAGACCUGGAUGAAGGAAAUAUUUUUUCAAAAAGCUUUUGGUCUGUUGAUCCCAAGUAAUAGACUCAGCAGGUUGGGAUGACAACCCAUUUUAAGCCUUAUUUGUCAAAGACCAUGGAAAUAGCCUCAAUCUUAUGGCAUCUAUAAAAACACCAUUAUAUUUUAUGGUGGCUUCCAUCCUUAUGAUCCUCUUUAGAUGAACGUUGAGGUCUUCAGUUGGUAGUCCUCCAAAAAUAGUAGAGGUUUGACCCAUAGAUAUCAAGUCUGACUUAAGCUUGAAAUUGUUUGCCUCGACAACUAGGUUAACUAUGUUUUCAAUAAAAUCUAUCGUUAGAGUAAAAUAAUCCUUCAACGUUCUUGGUAAUCUUUCACAUAUUGCUCUUAUUUGUUCUCUUCGUCAAUGAGCAGUUCGUUCAAUUUUUGGAUCAAAUAGCAAAAUAAACUCCUGAAAAAGAGUGAACAUGCACAAAAAAUAGCAACAAAAAAAAAACUAAUAAAUUAAUAACAACUAAAUAAAUAAUUUUAAAAAAAAACUAAAGUGUAAAACAAAAUUGAAAUAAUAAUAAUAAUAACAACAACAACAAAGAAAAUAAAAUAUAUUAGUAAUAAUAACAACGAAAAAUAAAUCAAACAUAUUUAUCUUUUUUUUUUAUUAAAAUAGUUGAAAUUAAACUAAAUAAAAAAAAUGUCUAUAGUAGUCAAAAUCUUUUCCGCUUAAUAAUUCUAAGUUAAUCCCCGGAAACGACACCAAAAACUUGUUCCAAAUUCCGCGAGUGUACUGGUUUGCCAAAUAGUAGUAGUAUAUAAGAUUAUCGUAUUCACAUAGAUUAAUUCAACAACUACCAAAUUAAUCAAAAUUCAACAUUAUUUUGAAUAAUCAAAAUUAUUGUUAGUCUCUAAUAACGAAAACGCAAUGAUAACAUAAAAAUUAUAACGAGAAUAUAUAAUAACACAACUUUGAAUUGAUGGAAAGUAAACUAAAGGCCAUGGUUUUAUUUUUAAUAUCAAUAUCUUAAGUCCUACUUUUUCAUGAAUUCUUAUUUAUUUUCUCAAUUAUCAAUCCAUCUUUAAAACUAUUAACAAAAACUCAUCAUUCAAUAUAAUAUUCUUUUCUCUAAAUUAAUUCAUUGAUUAAUCAUACAAAAAAUAUAAUUAACAGAAAACAUAAAUAACCAAGAAGUUGAGUGAUUGAAAGAUUAGUAUCUAUGUUUCAUCAUACAAGAAUCCUAAGCUCAAUUAUUCUAUAGAUAUAUCAAUUAAUUAUAGUUGGUUAGUAGCCAUCAAGUGUAGAUGAAAGAAAACUCUCAAGUCCAUGAAAUCUGAGAUGAUUCUGAAACGUGAAUUCAACAACAUCAAAGUAUGCAAAAUCCAUAGUUCUUGCCUCAUUAAUUUUCCUCUUUGCAAAGUCUGUUGAUAGAGAGGGUUGUGCCUCCUUUUCCUUUGGUGCUGAGACCUUCUUGGGAAGUGGUGAAGAAUUAGGUUUCUUCUUCCUCUUUUGAGAUAUUUCCUUUAUGGCAUCAGCCAUGAACUUCUCUGUUGGGGGUUCCUUACGUUUCUUAGUCUUCUCUUGGAUUGGUGCAGGAGCCUUGCCCUUAUCUUUGGCAAGAAUUUUGUGAGUGGGUAUUGGUACUCUCUUUGUCAAAGUGGGUGGGGGUGAAGGUGUUUCACUUGUAGAAGAAGAUGAGGGUGAUGGAGUACGAGGUUGGGUCUGUUUCACACGAGCCAUAUUCGUAACUUGAUGUAGAUUCAAUGUAGGUAGAAAGUAGAAUGAAGAUGCUAAUAGAUGCAGAGACAGAAGAAUGAAGCAGACAAGAGAAAUCAGUGAAAGUCUGGAAAAUACAAUGCAGAAAUCGAUUUAGAACUGUUCCUAUUUAUACUCUUAACCUUGUAAAUCGAUUUCCCAAUCGAUUAGGUUACCGUUGCUGGGAAUCCUCAAUCGAUUCAGUAAUGAUGAUGUUCAACGGCUAGAAAAAUAAGAGUAACGGUCAUAUUUCAAAUCGAUGUUCAAAUCGAGUUCCAGUUUUACUUAAUCGAUUGUCUUAAGGUUUAACACUGAACUAAUCGAUUUCCAAAUCGACGCUCGUGAAGGUUUAAAAAAAACUUUCUGAACUUUGAAUCCUGGGCUAAAGUAAUCGAUUCCCAAAUCGAUUUUAUAAACCAUUUACCAUGCUGGUAAUCGAUUUCCAAAUCGAUUUAACUGGAAAACAUUACUGAAAAAUACCAGAAUCAACAAAAAUCAUACUUCACUAGGAUCAAUGAUCCCUAGUUUCAUCCUUAUAUGCAAAAAACUUUCUCUUGGCAAAGCUUUUGUGAAGAUAUCAGCUAACUGUUCUGUAGUGUUCACAUACUCAAGUUUGAUAACUCCAUUCUGAAAGUGGUCUCUUAUGAAGUGAUGCCUUACCUCAAUGUGUUUUGUCCUUGAGUGCAUUACUGGGUUCUUGGUUAUGCUGAUAGCACUUGUGUUAUCACACAUGAUCGGCACUGUUCCCAAAUCGACACCGAAGUCCAUUAAAUGCUGUUUCAUCCACAAAAUUUGAGCACAACAGCUCCCAGCUGCUAUGUAUUCAGCUUCUGCAGUAGACAAUGCAAUACUUGUUUGCUUCUUACUGAACCAAGACACUAGAGAAUUACCAAGCAGAUGACAAGUUCCUGAAGUACUCUUCCUGUCAAGUUUACAACCAGCAAAGUCUGAGUCUGAAUAACCAAUCAAUGUACAUGUUGAUCCUUUUGGAUACCACAAACCAAGACUUUUAGUACCUACCAAGUAUCUGAAAAUUCUCUUAACUGCACUGAAGUGAGAUUCCUUCGGAUUCGAUUGAUACCUUGCACACAUACAAACACUGAACAUAAUAUCUGGUCGGCUUGCUGUAAGGUAGAGCAGAGAUCCAAUCAUACCACGAAAUCUAGUGACAUCUACAGGCUUACCCUUCUCAUCUCGGUCUAAGAAAUUUCCUUGACUCAUGGGUGUAUCAAUGGACUUAAGUUUAUCAAAGUUAAAUUUCUUUAUCAAAUCAGAACAAUAUUUGGAUUGACUAAUGAAAAUGCCUUGCUUGCUUUGGUUAAUUUGAAAUCCCAAGAAAUAUGACAGUUCACCCAUCAUUGACAUUUCAAAUUUACCUUUCAUUAAAUUUUCAAAUUCUUUGCAAAGUUUAUCAUUUGUUGAUCCAAAUAUUAUGUCAUCAACAUAAAUUUGGACCAGCAAGAUGUCAUUUUCAGUAGUUUUUGUAAAGAGUGUCUUAUCAACAUUUCCUCUUGAAAAAUUUUGUUGAAUGAGGAAAGUGCUGAGUUUCUCAUACCAAGCUCUUGGAGCUUGUUUCAACCCAUAGAGGGCCUUUGAGAGUUUAUACACAUGGUUAGGAAAAUCUGGAUUUUCAAAACCUGGUGUUUGACUCACAAAAACUUCCUCUUGGAGGUCUCCAUUGAGAAAGGCACUCUUCACAUCCAUUUGAUAUAGAUUGAAGUCCAUGAUACAUGCAUAAGCCAAUAAAAUUCUUAUGGCUUCUAGUCUAGCUACUGGGGCAUAGGUCUCAUCAAAGUCUAUUCCCUCCUCUUGACUAUAACCCUUUGCAACUAAUCUGGCUUUAUUCCUAGUUAUCACACCAUUCUCAUCUAACUUAUUUCUGAACACCCACCUAGUUCCUAUAACAUGCUUACCCUCUGGCCUAGGUACCAAGUUCCACACCUUGUUUCUCUCAAACUGGUUUAACUCCUCUUGCAUAGCAAGUAUCCACUCACUAUCUAAAAGGGCUUCCUUAAUGUUCUUAGGUUCAAUCUGAGAUACAAAGGCUGUAAAGUUACAAAACUGACUAAGGCUUCUCCUAGUUGCAACACCUUUAGAGAUAUCGCCUAUAAUGUUGUCUAAAGGGUGGUUUCGGUUGAACUUCCAUUCCUUAGGCAACUCACAGGUUUCUAUAGGUUCUACAGGGUCUGCACUAGUUGGAGGGUCAGCUAUAGGUUGUUCUAGUGGUUCAGAUUCUACAACAUCAUCCAAAAUGUCAAUAACCUUAGAAGGAGUUUUGUUCAAGUUUUCUGUAAAAGAUUCAUCAAACUUUACAUGAACUGACUCUUCUAUGGUUUUUGUUCUUUUGUUGUAGAUUCUAUAGGCCUUACUAGUUUGGGAAUAUCCUAGAAAGAUACCUUCAUCUGCCUUAGGGUCAAACUUUCCUAGGUGUUCUUUGCCAUUGUUUAAAACAAAGCAUUUACAACCAAAGAUUCUAAAGUAGGACAGGUUUGGUUUUCUACCCUUGUAAAGCUCAUAGGGUGUUUUCCUAAGCAGGGGCCUAAUGAGAACUCUAUUCACAACAUGGGUGGCUGUACUAAUUGCAUCUGCCCAAAAGUACUUAGGUAGGUUGGAGUCCUUAAGCAUGGUCCUAGCUAACUCUUCUAGGGAUCUAUUUUUCCUCUCCACUACCCCAUUCUGCUGUGGUGUCCUAGGGGCUGAAUAGAUGUGGUUGAUUCCAUUUGAUUCACAAUAAUUUUGAAAAAGAUCAUUUUGGAAUUCACCUCCAUGAUCACUUUUUAUUGAAACAAUUUUCAAAUCAUUCUCAUUUUGUACUAAAGCAGCAAACUUUUUGAAAACAGAGAAUGUAUCACUUUUAUGAGCUAAAAAGUAAGUCCAUGUGAAUCUAGAAUAAUCAUCAACCAGCACAUAUCCAUACAGGUUUCCACCUAAACUCUUAACUUGGGCAGGUCCAAAAAGGUCCAUGUGAACUAGUUGUAAAACUCUAUUUGUUCUAACCAAGUCUAUAGAGGGAAAUGGAGUCUUAACCAGUUUACUUUUCUCACAUGCAUCACACAGUCUAUCUUUAGAGAACUUCCUAUUUGGUAGACCUAAGACUAACUGUUUGCUGACAAGUUUAUUCAAAUGAUUUAUGUGUAUAUGAGCAAUUCUUUUAUGCCAAAGCCAUGUUUCAUCUGAGUUGGAUAACAAGCAGCAUACAGCACUAGGUACAGAAUUGAAAUCCAACAUGUAAAUGUUGUUGAUUCUGUCCCCAAUUAGCUUUAUGUGUUUGUCAUCUUUAUGCUCAAUAAUGCAAGAUUGUGAUGAAAAACUUACUUGAAAACCUUUGUCACAUAGCUGGCUUAUACUCAGUAAGUUGUGCUUUAAUCCUUCAACAUAUAGCACAUUUUUGAUUACUGCAGUUGAUUCAUCGCCUACAUCACCAAUUCCAAUGAUUUUUCCUCUGUUGUUAUCACCAUAUUUGACAAAGCCUCCUUCCUUUAAUGUCAAGUUCAGGAAUUUGGAUUUGUCACCAGUCAUGUGCUUUGAGCAUCCGCUAUCUAGAUACCAUGAGUGUUUCGUGGAUGUCAAGCACACCUGCAAUACAAAAUCAGAAUUUUGUUUUAGGUCCCCAAUUUAAAUUGGGUCCUGGUUGGUUAGUGUCAAACACAGAUUUCUUUUCUAUCCAAACUAGCUUCCAUCCUUGAUUGGCUAAUUUUUUAAAUUUGCAAUUAGACACAAAAUGUCCCUUUCUGCAACAGAAAUGACAUCUGCCAUCAAAGGAUGAAUGUUUAUUUGGUUUAGUAAAGAUGUCAUACAUACUCUUAGCAAUAGCAGAUUUUUGACCAUGUUUGACAUUUCUGGUUUGCAUAUAACCAAUACCAGAUCUGUUUUUAUUUUUUCUUUUGACAUGCAUAUUUGGUGUAUAUCCUAAACCAGAUUUUUCAUGAACAUGUCUUUGAUUGCUAAGUAUGACAUUUAGCUUAUCUUUACUAUUUGCAAAAUUUAAUAAAUCAGAUUUUAAUGAUGCAACAGUAUUUUCAAGUUCAAUGCACUUUGCAGAUUUUUCUUGUGAAUCCUUUUUCAGUUGUUCACAUAAAUUUUCAAUUUCUUUAUGCUCAACAUUCAUUUGUUCAAGCAUUUUCUUUGUGCUUAACAACUGUUUUAUGGAAUUCACAUAAUCAUCAUGCAGUUCAUUGAAAGCUUCUUGAAGUUCAUCAUAGGUUGGAUUAGAUUGUGAACUAACCUCAUUUUCUGAUUCUGAAUCUGUAUCUGCCAUGAGACACAAGUUGACUUCUUCUUCAUCAGAAGAUGCAGAGGAUUCAUCGUUAUCAUUCCAUGCAAUAUAAGCUUUUCUGGUUUUGGUGACUGGUUCCUUGCCUUUUGAUUUUGUAGCUCUAUUCUUGUUUUGCAAUUUGUAGCAUUCUGACUUUAUGUGACCAGUUUUACCACAUUCAUAGCAUGUAAUGGUCUUGUUGUCAGUAGUCUUGGAGCUAGAUGGUUUUCUGAAUUUGUUGUCUUUCUUCUUCAGAAACUUCUUGAAUUUCUUGACAAGCAACCCGAUUUCCGGCUCUUCAGAUUCACUACUGGAUUGAUCUGAGCAGCUAUCUGAUUCAGUUUUCGAUUGCUGGGCUUGAACCUUCAGGGAUAGUCCUUUCUUUUUGCGGCUUUCCAUCUCUGAUUCGUCCAGUCGAUGUAAUUCCAUUUCGUGUUCUCUUAGUUUACCAAACAAAGUUGCAGUCGUCAUCUUUGCUAGAUCUUUAGAUUCUGCUAUGGCUGUUAUCUUUGGCUGCCAUUCUCUGGUUAGACAACUCAUAAUUUUUCCAAUCUGCUGUUCGUUGUCCACUUGCUUUCCCAAUGCGUGAAGAUUAUUCACAAUGUGUGUGAAUCUGGUUUGCAGAUCGCUGAUGGAUUCGUCCUUUUUCAUGCUGAAUAAUUCAUAUUCGUGCAUAAGUGUGUUUACGCGAGCUCUCUUCACAUCUGUGGUUCCUUCAUGUGUUUCUUGAAGAAUGUCCCACAUUUCUUUUGCUGACUUGCAGUUUGACACUCUAAAAAAUUCUUCUGCACAAAGAGCAGAUGUUAUAAUGUUCUUAGCCUUAGCAUUAUAACCUACCUUUUUCUUGUCAUCAUCUGACCAGUCGGCUCUAGGCUUGAGAAUCAUUGAGUCAUUCGUUCCUGCAAUCUUGGGAAUAUAUGGACCGUUUUCAACAGCGUCAAGGAUGUCUAUGCCACUGGCUUCCAAGAAGAUUAGCAUCCGGUGCUUCCAGUACAUAUAAGCUGUUCCGUUGAAAGCUGGAGGUCUUGCUAACGAUGCGCCUUCUCCCAGAAAAUCGUUUGAGGCCAUAGUGCUUUUAUGAGUAUUACCUCUCGAAAAGUUAGGCUCUGAGGCCAAUUGUUGGUAUAUAUGACCUCGUAAUAAGCGGAAUAUAUCAGAAUGUAUCAGUUCUUUAUGAAAUUAAAUCAAUUUCAUACACACAGCGGAAAUUAAAUUGUGGCAUACAAGAUUAGCAAGUUUUAUUAGAUUGAUAUGAGAUUAAUCAAGAUGCAUACAAGUCAAAUUAUCAGAUUAAACAAUAUUACUUAUUACAGAAUAUGUUUAACAUGCAUCUAAUUUUAAUCACAUAUACAGAUAUAUCAAGAUAGUAAAUCAAAGGAGAUAAGGGUUAGAGAAGAUUGCACCAAGGAUUUAUACUGGUUCAGUUGUCCACUUGACAACCUACAUCCAGUCCUGCAAAUCCAAACGGAUUUCAGAUUUUCUUCUCCAAUAGAAAGAAUCAAUUACAGAUUGUCCAGUUUCCUCCCCGAAACCUAUCUAUCUUAAUGAUCUCUUUCCUAUUGAUCACCCUCUGAUCCUUGUAGAUACUCAGCAACCUAUCACAGAAUCAAAGUACAACUCUUUCUUGUUGAGCACUCUCACCCAAGAAAGUAGUCACCAGUUUCUAGCUGGAUUUUCUCGCUUUGUUUUUGUUUCAAAGAAUUAUUACAAACAGAAUACAGAAAGAACAAAAAGUAGUCUUCAAUCUUGGUCAAAAUGGCUUCUCACAAUUCUGGAUAUCAAAGAUUUGUUUAUGAGAAUCCUUGUCUUUCAAGAUCACUUUUCCAGCUAUCUUUUUGAUUGUUGAUAAUCCUCUUUUUCUAUUUGAUCUGAAAAAGUAAUCUCAAUGUAUUAACCAAGUGUUAUUGUGUAUCAAGAAUAUUCAAUGUAUAUUUCAGAUUGAUAUCAUUGUUAUUAUCAUUCAUGUUAUUGAAAGACAGAUUGAAGACAGUUUAUAUAGUUUCUGAAAAACACAUUAAUCAAUCGAUUUACCAAUCGAUUUCGUAAAGUGAUAAACCAGUCUAAUCGAUUUGCCAAUCGAUUAUCGUGUGUCUUGUUUUUCUUGAAUCUUGAAACUAUAUAACCCAAUCGAUUUACCAAUCGAUUCUUUAAACAACAUUUCUCAGUGAUUAUGUUAAGACUGAUAUGAAUCGAUUUCGUAAUCGAUUGCAGAUGUUAUGUUCAAACUGAAACACAUAUCAAUCGAUUCCAUAAUCGAUUUAUCAAAUCUUCAUAAUCGAUUAACAAAUACUUAAAAUCGAUUUGGUCACACGCUCAGAGUUCACUGGGUUUUCAAAAGGUUUUGUCAAUCGAUUUGCCAAUCGAUUGAGUUUAAGUCAGUGACUCAGCUAUUUUGAUACUAAUCGACGUGCCAAUCGAUUUGUAUGUAUUUGUCUGAAAACGUUCUUACCUGGGAUUUGGUUCAAUCGAUUUCCCAAUCGAUUUCGACCAAAUUUAACUUGAUUGAAAUAUUACAACAUAGAUUGUCCAAUCGAUUUGUAUGUCACAGGAAAAGUUAUUUUGCAAGUGAUUUUUAAGUAAUCGAUUUGCCAAUCGAUUACCCUUAAAACUGGGUUUCCACUGUGACUUAUCCAAUCGAUUUCCCAAUCGAUUUAUUUCAAUCAGGUUUACUUUGUGAAUUGUAUAAUCGAUUUGUCAAUCGAUUACCCUCAAAACUGGGGUGCCACUGACUUGUGCAUUUUCAAUUUCUAAUUCAGUCAGUCGAUUGCCCAAUCGAUUAUACCAACACAAACAGUUGUGUUUCCUUACACCUUUGUUAUGAAAUCGAUUUCCCAAUCGAUUUGCUUCAAUCAAAAAUCAACUUUUGUUGAUUUCUUGUGUUUCAAGCAACCUGUUCCAAGUGUGUAGGAUUUGAUUGUUGUUCCUGAAAUCUUGCUCAAUUCAAAUAUUAGAUUUAUCAUGUAUUGUAUGAACAUUGUUGAAUUAUUAAUUAUGUCAAAAUUAGGAAUCAAAGGAUCAAAAUCCAACAAUCUCCCCCUUUUUGGCAUAAUUGACAAUUCAUACAAUUGUAACUUGAGCAUUUCAAAACAACAAGCAUAAGUGUAUUAUAAACAACAUUAUUACUUGUUAUUAAGUAACAGAGCAAACUAUAUCAUAAGUAUCAAAGUAAUAACAACAUGCAGACAAACAUCAACAAUGCAACUGUCAAGUUAUAAUAUUUCUCCCCCUUUGUCAUUUAAGUCAAAAAGGUAGAAACAAUUUCUCCCCCUAUGUUAAAGAACAUAUGCAUUGGGUUUGAAACAUAUAACACAGUGCAUCAAAAACAAUGAAGUUUAUAUGUAUAAAGGCAAAAUCAAUCAAUGCAAUUAAUGAGCAACUUAGAUGAUUAAGCCAAAUGAUAUAACAUUUAUAAAAAAUCAUCAUACAUCACAGAAUUAUAACAAGUCAGAGCAAAACAGUAUCAAACCUAAGGAUCCUAAACACCUAGUGUGGGCUGGUCCUCACUAUCAUCUAAGGGAGAGGUUGAGACCGCUGUAUUAACCUCAGCAGGUGUCUCCUCACCGUGAGUCUCAGGGUUAACUAGGGGGUUUGGGUUAGGUUCAUCCGUAGCUUGUCGACCAAUCUCUGCGACGUCUUCAAAUGACAGUUUGAUGCCGAGGUGUGUCUGAAUCUCAUCCACAUUUUGAACAACUGAGUUCAAGGAGGCUUGCAUAGUCCUUAAACUUGCUUCUACUCUGGACUGAAAUUCCAACACUUUGGCAUUGUGUGCCAUCUGAGCUUCAAUGAAUUCCAAAAUUCUGUUCACAAAAUCAGGAGUAGCAGAUUCAGUAACUGGUGGAGGCUGAGACUGAGGUUGAGGUUGGGGCUGGACAGGGUCAGCAGCUGCUUGAGGUCUUAUCCAUUUACCAUGUAAUCGCUUCAGUUGCAUCUGAUUCACUAUCGAUUCACCAAACACCAAUGUCGUUUUAGCAGAUUCCUCAUUUCCAAAUGAGACCUUGAAGUGUUUGAGAAUUUUAGUUAUCAACUGUGGAUAAGGCAGCAUCAGCUUGCUUUGAGAUGCUUCCAACAUGUGCCUUAGCACAAUCCAACACCAGCUCAUCCUUAACUCUUUGGAUAAGCCCCACAACAGUAUGAUGUCCAACUUCUGGACUACUGCGUGAUUUCCCGAUCGUGGAACCAGCAUACGCGUCAAAGCAUACAUCAACAUCCUCUGUUGAACCUUCAUCUGACCAAUGGGCAGUGAAAUCGAUUCAACAAACCCAUCGACCAUCAGGUCUUUAACUGCGGUAUGCCUAUCAAGUGUUUCUUCCCAACCUUCAUCGGCAGUGUCGGCUUCUGUGCUGCCAUCAAUAGAUUUGCCGUAGAAAGGCAAUCCAGAUAAAGUUGAGAAAUCAUCAAAAGUCAUUGUAAUUCUUUUUCCCUUAACUGAAGCAGUAAAACCUUCUUCAGUCAUCUUGAAUGUAGAAUAAAACUCCCUGAUCAGCCUUGGAUAGCUGUCGAGUGUAGAAGACAGAAAACUUUCCAAUCCAUGAAACCUGAGGUGGUUCUGAAAAGUAAAUUCCACAACAUCAAAAUAUUCAAAAUCCAUGGUUCUAGCUUCAUGAAUUUUCCUUUUUGCGAAGUCUGUAGACAAAGAUGGUUGUACCUCCUUUUCCUUAGGUGCAGAGACCUUCUUAGGAGGUGGAGAAGAAGUAGGCUUCUUCUUCCUUUUCUGAGUAAUUACUUUCAUGGCAUCAGCCAUGAGCUUUUCAGUAGGGGGCUCUUUGCGUUUCUUCGACUUUUCCUGGAUUGGGGCAGGAGCUUUUCCUUUAUCCUUUGCAAGUAUUUUGUGAGUUGGGAUGGGUACUCUUUUUGUUAAAGUUGGAGGUGGUGAUGGUGUUUCACUGGUGGAAGAAGAUGAUGGAGAUGGAGUGCGUGCUUGAGUCUGUUUUACUCGGGCCAUAUCAACAAUUUUGUGUAGAUUCGAAGUAGGUAGAAUGUAGAAUGCAGAUUCAAACAAAUGCAGAGACAGAAGAAUGAAGAACACAAGAGAAAAGCAGAGAAAAUCUGGAAAACAAAGUGCAGAAAUCGAUUUAGAACUGUUCCUUUUAUACUCUUGACCUAGUAAAUCGAUUUCCCAAUCGAUUAGGUUACCGUUGCUGGGAAUCCUCAAUCGAUUCAGUAAUGAUGAAGUGCCAACGGCUAGUAACUUUGAGUAACGGUCAUAUUUCAAAUCGAUGUUCAAAUCGAAUUCCAGUUUUACUUAAUCGAUUCCCAAAUCGAUUGUCUUAAGGUUGAACACUUAGCUAAUCGAUUUCCAAAUCGAUGCUCGUGAAGGUUAAAAAAAAAUUUCUGAAAUUUUGAAUCCUGGGCUAAAGUAAUCGAUUCCCAAAUCGAUUUUAUAAACCUUUUACCAUGCUGGUAAUCGAUUUCCAAAUCGAUGUAACUGGAAAACAUUACUGAAAAGUACCAGAAUCAUCAAAAACUUACACUUCACUAGGAUCAAUGAUCCCUAGUUUCAUCCUUAUGUUCAAAAAACUUUCUUUUGGCAAUGCUUUUGUGAAGAUAUCAGCUAAUUGUUCUGUAGUGUUCACAUACUCAAGUUUACUUGAAUGGGUUCCAUGUACCAUUUGUUGUUGUGUAAAUGUUUUGGAUUUAUAAUUGGAGAAACUCUUCCGCUGUUUGUAAAUUAUAAUGACUCAAUUAUUUAUCCAAAGACAUUUUCUGAUUUAAUUCUCUGUUUUAUUUUAAUUCCUUUUGGAAAAAAAAAUAUACCCUCGCUUUGAAAAACGGGGUGUUACACAACCAAACUUAACUUGAUUGAAAUUUCACACAAUAGAUUGUCCAAUCGAUUGUGUUUGUCACAGGGAAAGUUAUUUUGCAAAUAGUAUUUGAGCAAUCGAUUUGCCAAUCGAUUACCCUCAAAACUGGGGUGUCACUGUGACUUGUACAAUCGAUUUCCCAAUCGAUUUAUUUCAAUCAGGUUUACUUUGUGAAAUGUAUAAUCGAUUUGUCAAUCGAUUAGCCUGUAAAACAGGGUGCCACUGACUUGUGCAGUUUUCAUUUCUAAUUUAGUCAAUCGAUUAUACCAUCACAAACAGUUGUGUUUCCUUACACCCUUGUUAUGAAAUCGAUUUCCCAAUCGAUUUACUCAGUCAAAAAUCAACUUUUGUUGAUUUCUUGUGUUCCAAGCAAUAUGUUCCAAGUGUGUAGGAUUGGAUUGUUGUUCCUGAAAUCUUGCUCAAUUCAAAUAUUAGAUUUAUCAUAUUAUGUAUGAACAUUGUAUGUUUGUUAAUUAUGUCAAAAUUAGGAUUCAAAGGACUAAAGUCCAACAAGUUACUCAUUGACAUAUAGAAAAUAAAGUAAAUUAUAGAAGUGUUGAUCAAUUAACAGAAAAUAAAUAAAACCAUCAAAGAGUAUAUUUUUUGCUCCAAAAUUUGAGACACUUUGCUCCAUCUCUAACCACUCCUAAGUUUCCAAAGUGUUUGUCUUUAUUUUUUUCUCUAUUUGUUUUUUACUUCUCCGUAUCUGCUUAUGAUUUCUCCUCCUUAUGAUAGCAAGAAGAUCCAAUUUUUUUGCUUUCCCCCUUCUUUGCCAACAUUUUCCUAUCAUAAAAUUCAAUCUAUUUGGAGUGUGCAACAAACCUUCUUCUUGUACUCAUAAGUUGGAAUAUUAAACUUUAUAUUUUUGGACUAAAAGCUUAGUAGAUUUGAUCAAUUUGAAUUUUUUUUGCAUCUCAUGAUUAAUUCUACAAAUACGAUAAAUAAAGGAAUAACAAGAAGUUGAAAUUAAAACUAUAAAAUAAGAUAAAAUAGAGAACGAAUACCCUAUCAAAAUUCUAUAAAAAUAGGUUUAUACAUUUUUUUGCUAGACUAUUAUUACUUGUUACAAAGCUAAAAUUCUGAAAAGAGAAAAAUAAAAUAAAUUUAUAAAUUGAUCAAAGCAAGUUGAACAAGAAAUUUUAAAAAGUACCCUUUAACAUUAUUUUUUACUUAAAUAAAAAGAAAAAAACCACUAAAAUUGUACAUUACUUUUCUAGCAUGUGACCAACGCUAGAAAAAAUCAUUCAGUAAUAAAGAAAACUUAAAUACAUCAUGACAUCAUGACGAAAUAAUUAAUAUUUUUGUUUGGAUAGUCAUAAGAAAACAACAAUAAUAAUAACCAUAAAACUAAAAAUCUUGGUAUAACUAAGAUCUAUAUUUCAAUCCGCGCGUUGCGCCGGUGUCUUGAGAUUUAUUUUUCAAAAAUUAGUAAGCAUUAGAAAUAUAAGAUAUAUAUAAUUUAUAAGUUUCCUUUAGAAUUAAUCUUUUAUAUAAGUCUCAUUUGACAUUUUGUUUCGUAAACUAACACUCUUAUUAUAUAAACUUUAUAUCUUAGUAGCAUAAAUGUAAUGGCUUAGAUAUCAAAUCAAACACAAUAGUUGUAUUUACAAUUUUAUUUUACACAUUUUUAUUUAUAAUUAUAAUCCCAAAAUAAUAAUAGUUAAUUAGAUGUAUGAAUUAUAGAGAAGGAAAUGGACAGUAAAGUGUUAGUCAUGUCACAAAAGAAUAACUUGAAAAAAUAUUAAAAGUGACAUUAGCCUAUAUAAAAUUCACAAGGUAGCUAAAUAAAUUAAAAAGUGGUUGAAUGAUUUGAAUUAAUAAUAAUAAUUACUUUUCUUUCUACCGUAAUAGGUUAUCUUAAAGAAAAAAUUUGAACCAAAAUAAAUGUAUAACUUAAGUGCAGCUUAAAAAAGACAUUAAUUAAAUUCGAUUAGGAAAAUAUGUGCAUUUAGAAUAGAAUAAUUCUCGAACUCUAUAGAAACUUUAUUUUUAUUGUAUUAGUGUGAAAAGUAACAUCACUCUUCAAGAUAAGUGUUUCAUCCGUCUCAUUUUAAAUAUAUCAUUUGAGGUGUGUAUAAUUCUUUAGAAAAUUAUUAGUUGAUUUGAUUUCAAUGAUAAAAUGUUUAAUUUACUCAAAUAUUUUUAUAAAUUGUAGUUAGCGGGAAAAUUUGAUGAGUUGAAAUAUAAUAAAUAAAAGUAUUAGUGAAAAAAAAGUAAUUAAUGUUGUAUUGGAAUUGUAAAAUGAUAAAUAGUUUGAGACAAAAAGAAAUAACAAAUGAUGCAUUUAAAAUGAGAUAGAGGAAAUAAUUGUUUCCUUGUAAACUUGACUUGUCAUAAUGGAAUAACAAUUUAUAGAUUUUUGAAAAAUCUAAAACAUUUGGUUUAAACCUAAUUUGUAGCCUCCAUCUGUUCAUCUCCAACUAACAUGUCUCUUGUGUCAGGUCUUUUUUGUCGAGUUAUAUGAACCAAAAGCAAUAAAUAUAAUGUCACUCAUGAUACAAUUAUAACGCAUAAGGAAAUAUUGAAAUUUGAUUUGGAGAACGUAAAGUUAAAAAUAUGGACUAGAUAUUUCAAAUUAUCAUGUAAACAAAUGUGUUGUUAUUAUUGUUUCUUAAUUACUGUGGGCACUUUAAUUUUCCAAGAAUUGUGUAAAUUUAAACCAUUAUCUAGUUAAUUUAUUACACUAAAAAAUAUGAAUUGUAACAAUGGAUCUACUUUGAAUGAUGGAAAUUAGGAACUAUCAAGACCUUAUGGUUUAAAAAAAGAAGAGGAAAUUACCUAAUAAAAAAUUGCUAAAAAGAGACAAAACAUACGGUUUAUUGAAUGAAAUAUCAAUAAUUGACAUCAACAUAAAUUAAAUAAAUUAGAUAUUUUUUAUUAUUGAUAUUGUAAAUGAAAGAUAACAUAAAAAUUAUAUAACUAAAUAUUAGACAUAAAAUAGAACACGCAUUUCUAGUGGCUAGUAAUCCCCAGUGGAAGAAGAAGAUGUUCAUGAAGGAGAAAAGUAUACCAAAGUUAGUUACUCAAAUGAAUAUUAACAUCAGUUGCAUUUCAUCAAACACCACAAAAGCAUGUCUCGAGGUUGUGAUAUUGUGUCUUCUUGAAUUUUGGUUAAGCCAAGAAAAAAAGAAUAGAUAUUUGGACUUAUAUUGGAAAUGGUUACAUAAUAAAUUCAUAUUUAAUAAACGGUAAAUAUAUAACAGAGAAACGUUCAUUGCAUUAUGAGCUAUUAUUAAUGUUUGUUUUUUUUAUUAUUUUUGUUGUUGUUGAGGAAAUAAAAUGUAUUAGAUGAAAUAAAAUUGUGUACUAUAUGAAGAAUAGAAAGAGAUGAGAUUCUAACUCUAACAACUAAGCAAAUAAGUAAGGUGACACAGAUAAAAUUAUGUAACAUAAAAUGUUAUUAGGUGUCAAAUGAAUGGUUUGGUAGUCCUAUAUUAAUAGAAUAUUUUUUUAGAUUUAAUCUGGUUGCUUAUGUCAUUCCAUAUCUCCCACUAAGCCAAUCAUCUAACAUCAAUGGAAAUAAGAAAUAAGACUUUGUUUGGCUAAAAGCGAAAAGUGAGGCUUUAAUGGAAUCAAUGACUAAGAAUUAAGAGUAGAUACAAAACACCGUAUAACUUUUCGUCUAACCAAUCCAAACCCUUAGGAUUUGUUUUAUAUUUUAUUUGUAAAGUUUCAUACUGUACACCCUUUAUUUUAUGAUUAUAUCAUUUUUUUUCUUCUACUCUCAAUUUUUUUUAUUGUUACAUUUUGUUGUCUUUUUUUUUUUUUUUUGUCAAUGACAAAAGAGAAGAAAGAUAUGACAACAAAUUUUUGCUUUGAGAGAAGUGUGUGAGAUUUAUUUAAAAAAGGGGAUAACUUUUUUCCUUAGAAAACCUAUGAACGUUGUUAACUUUUCAAAAGAAAAAGGAACAUAUGUUAAAGAAUAGUAACAGAAAUAGUCAAUCAUCUAUUAAGAACAACUUUUCAGUACUCUAUCAAAAACAAGUUUGACUUAAGUCAAUCCUCUGAUUGAAGCAUCUACAACAACUUCUUUUGAAUUAUUCGAUUCAAGCGUCUGAAAUGAGAAUGAUCCUAUGAUCACAUCCUCUAAUUAUUAUGACAUGACAUAAAAAUAUAUUAUCUUAAAAAGGAAUGAAGCGCGGAAAUUGUACAAUGAUUUCCUACAAUGAUCAGAAAACCUAAAGGAAUCAACGAGCUCUAUAUAAAGAAAUGUUUGUGUAGCAAUUCAAAAAGACAAGACUAAAAUAAGAAGAGAAACAUAAAACACCACGUUGAGAGAAGAAUCUUUAAAGAAAAGAACAAACUUUCUCUACAACAAAUUUUUUGUAAUAUUGAAAAAAGAAAAGCUCUUAAAAAAAAUUUACUAAGAAUUUGUCAUUGUAAUGCCCUCUUAAAAAGAGAUACCCAGAAGCACUUGAAACAAUUUCAUCUUUAUACCUUAGCCUAGUAGUGCCUAUGAACCUCAAAAGUUUGAAUGUAUUAAGUUAGAAGUUUGAGAACACUAUCUGGUGACUUGAAGAUGUUUUAGUAGUUGAAAGAAAUCAAUGUGAUUUAGUGGAUGAAAUCCUUGAGUGAUAAAAGGGACUAGCUAUAGCUACCGUUUUGGUGGUGAACUAUGAUAAAUCGGUUUUGUGAUCUCUCUUCCUUAUCUCUUUAUUUUUGUGUUAAAGUUAUUUUCUUAAAAUAUAUCUUAAGUUUCUAACCAUAAAUCUUUUUAAGAGAAAAUGUUUUAAAUUUAAAAACACAAUUCAAAACUUCAUUUAUUGUGUUUUUCAACCUUUAGAAGUAACAUUUGAGCUUAUAGUGUUUCAUGUUUUCUUUCAUUUUUACCCUCAUUAUCUUAGUUGAAUUUUUUAAAUAUUAAUUAAAAAUAUUGUUAGCUUGUCUGCUAUCUUCUAUUAAAGGGAGGCAUUUUGUAAUUGUCGAAGUUUCAAAAGUCUCGGGUUGAAUGAGGUAAAUUUUAGUUUUUUGAAAGAAUUACAGAGAGAUUUUAAACUUGAUUUUGUGAGAUUUAUGGAGGAGUUUCAUGUGAAUGAAAGAUUGGUGAGAGGUUCCAACAAUAUGAUAAUUGUGCUUAUUCCAAAAAAAGGUAAUCCUUAUAGUAUGAAUAUUUUUCGGCCUAUCUCUCUCUAUUGUGGGUUGCAUGUAUGAGGUCCUAACAAAAGUGUUGGUGAAUAGAUUGAAAAACAUCAUUGGUAAAUUCAUUUCAUAUUUCAAUCGGCGUUUGUUGAUGGUGACAAAUUUUUGAUAGAAUUCUAAUUGCAAAUAAAAUUAUUGAUGAGGCAAUAACGAGAAAGGAAUUGAUCAUGUUCAAAGUAUAUUUUGAAUAAGCGUAUGAUUUUAUGGCAAAAAUUGAUGUUGGAAUGUGUUAGUUCUAUGGAGGCGUUAGUUCUUGUCAAUUAGGUCUCCCACUGAUGAGUUUCCUUUAUUUCAAGGUUUGCAUUAGAGCAACCCCAUUUCUCCUUUUUAAUUCUUAUUAACUGUUGGAGGUUUUAACUCCAUUAUGUGUGCUUCGAUUACAAAUGAGUUGUUUGAUGAUUACAUAGUGGAUGAAAUCGGGGAGUGUUGUGUCUCCCAUUUGUCGUUUGUAGAUAAUACGGUAAUCAUGGGCAACAAAUGUUAAAGCAAUCAAAUCCAUUUAAUUAGAGCAUGAUGAUGGGAGUUAAUGCUAGUGACUCUUGGUUGAUAGAAGUUGCGGAUGGACUGCAUUACAAAGUUGCGGAUGGACUGCAUUACAAAGUUGAUAUAAUGUAAUUGCAAGGUGUCUCAUGGUUAGUUUUCUUUUAGAGUUAGUGUUUUGAGUGAUGUCAACUUAUUUAGUUUAGAUGGUGUUUUGAGUGUGUGCUUUAUUGAUUUUCCUUCUCUAACUUUUACAGAGACCACUUGAUCAAGAAAGAUUGCGUAAGAAAGAAAUUUUUAUCAUGCAUAAGCUUAUUUACAUGUGUUUUAGCAUGUAUUAAGUUUGAAGCAUGAUAUUAUUGUAUUGGUAAUAUUUGAAACUCAUUUCAAAUUAUUUUUUAAGUGGUUUUUCUUUUAUAAAUCGAUUUACACACUUAUGAAUCGACCCAUGAAUUUCAAAAAUUCAGUUCUUGAAGUCCUAAGACCGUGAAUAAACUCACAAAUAAUAUGAAUCAAAUCAUCAAUAAUGCAAUAUUUGAGUCGACAUACAACUGUGUGAAUCGACUCAACAACUUCAAACUUAAAAUUUGACUUUUCAAUCGGUGUGAGUUGUAAGAUUCGAUAAUUUUUUUAACCACUUAUUUAUUAGAAAUUACAUUUAUAUCGAUUGUUGGUGAAAAUUUAUUAUGUUAAUCAACAAUUAGAUAUAUAUGUCUUUGAUCAUGUCUUUAUUUUAUUUAUAAUUAAUAGUAGUACUCUAUGUAUUUGAUGUUAAAAAAAUAUAUCUGUGUGGCUUUAUAUGAUUUAUUUAUAUUAAGAUUGUACUAUUCUAAGAUAUGCAACAUGCAUAAACAAAAGAAAAUAUUAUAUUAAAUUAAUUAUGAUUACGAGUUAUUUAAAGUUAAAGAACGUUAUAAAAUAGUAUGGUAUAUUAAUAUUUAUUUUAUCUAUGUAGUAAAGUAAUAUAUAUAUUCAUGUAAUUUUAUUAAAUAAAUGAACGUUUGAUAAUGUUAUCUACCGGAUAGAUGAAUUUUAUACAUAAGUAAUUAUGUAAGAUGAAUUGUAGAAGUUUAAGGUCCUGCGUAAGAAUAUAAACGAUGUGGUGCAAAUGUUAUGAUGUGGCAUGUGAGGUGUCAUUCAAUUGAGUUGGGAGUCUUUUUAAUAUAUUAUAAAUAGAUUAGUAUUAUCAUUAACCGACUAAAUAUAGACGCAUGGUAGAGAGGAAGAAAUUUGAAAUUAAUAUUGGAUUGUGAGAAGGGUAGAAAUGAUAAGCAAGCUAACAAUUCAACAUGAACUAUAACUAAAAAAUGUGGUUGUCCGUUCAAAUUCAGGUCAAGACAAAUGAAGGAUGGAUAGUUAGUGUGAUUUGUGUCUGAAAGUUAAUUGCAUAAGGUGUGGGAAAAUGGUUAUAAGAAGAAAAAAAUAUUGACAAUUUAAACGGUCACAAUUCAGAAUUGGAGGAGGCACAAUAGUGCAAUGCAAUAAUAAAAGUUAUUAAACAAAAUAUAACGACAAAGUAAAUAUUGGAGUUUCAAUUUUAUUUUUAAUAUGACACUAAUUAUAUAGCAAAAUUAAUAGUGAGAUGACAUCAUCCUAGUUCGUGGGACUGUUUUAAUAAAAUAGUAUAUAAAAAAUAGAGUAUAAAUAUUUUAAAAGAUAACUAUAAAAUAAUUUAUAGAUCUCAUUAAAAAUGAGCUAUUUUUUUAUUAAAGAUGCUAUGCAAUAUUAAAUUUGAGGAAAUUAAACAAUUGUAAAAAUAAAAAAUAUGGGAUAUAUAGACACUAAGCAUUUAUUUUUCUUCAUCCGAGAAAAUUUAAAGUGUUAUUUAUUACACUUAGAAAGGUAUAUGUUACACUAUUUGACUCUAUGUGUCUAAAGAUGGGUGAGACUAAGAAUUAUAAUUAUAAAUAGAAUUAAACUUCAAAGAUGUAAACUAAAAAAAUAUAAAAUUUCUCACACGUUUUAUUUAUCUAAAAACACGUAAAAUGAACAUACAAAGAAUCACAAAUUAGAUGCAAUCAAUUACAAAAUUAUCGACAAUCAAUCUAACACUAAUUAUUAUAGAAAAGUUGCAUAGAGACCAAAGUGUAUAUGUCAUUGUCUUCUAAUUUCUAAAUAAACAUAAUUAAUAUAUGAUACAAAAUAAUUUUCAUAAAAUUUUGUCAUUUAUAUAUUUCUUGAGAAGCGUUUAAAAGAACCAAUAUAUUAAUCGGAGUUAAAAUCAUAAAAAAAAUUGUUACCAAUAAUAAUGCAUGAGCAAUGGGUAAUAUUGAUUGUACUUUAAUUAGUAAUGCAUGUAACAUGAAUAGUAAUAAUAUUAGAUGCUAAAUAGUAAUAGUAAUAGUAAUAAUAAUAAUAAUAAUAAUAAUAAUAAUAAUAAUAAUAAUAAUGUGUGUUAAAGUAAAUUGAAAGUGGAAUAGUAAAGAGAAUGAAAGAGUAUCUCUGCUACAUCAGAUUUCUGUUGAAGAGAUAAUAUUUGAAUAAAAUUACACAAUAUUAAAUGAUAUAUCACAAUAAUAUAUGAGAAUAUAUUUUAAUAUAUUAUAAUAGAUACUAUUAAAAAAAAUUGGCAGAAAGAUUAACGUCUUCCUAUUUAAUUUUGUCGGGGAUUAAAAGUUUUUUUUUAUGAGAGACUAAUAUAUCCCACGUAUUUUAUGUGAAGGAACAAAAUUCACAUUCACAUACCACCAUCUUAUCUUUCCUAGACAUAGCUAGCUUUACAUCAUCAACAUAAAAUAAAUACAAAUUUUAAGACAUAAAAACAGUAAAUCAUUUUAUAACGAAAUCCAUCAUUAAAUUAUCCAUAUAUAUAUAUAAAGAUAUUAUUUUUGAAAUUUGAGAACGUGUAGUAGUAGUUUACUUAGGCAGUUGUUCAAUAGUCCCCCUCAAAAUUCAAUGCAUUACCUAAUUUUGUCUACUGAAUGUAUUUUAAGUGAAAUACAUUACUAAAAAUGUGAUUUCGAUAAUGUAUUUUACACCACGAACAAAAAUAAGAGUGAGAUGAGGUAUCACCUUUUUUUGAAUAUGCAAGUGCUAAUUCGUACUUGGAGAACAUGAAGUGGAGGAAGCACUCAGGGUCGGGCCAACAUAGACUUAAAGCGAAAUUAUUAUAUGGGGUUUUUUUAAAGUUCAUAAUUAAAUUAUUAAUAUUUUUAUUUAAAAAUUGAUCUUUCGUGCUUUUUUCGAUGCAAAAUCAUUUAUUAAAUUAUUAUAAUCAAUUUCCUUUAACAAUUCUUUUUCAAUCGAUAAUAAAGCUAAUCCAUUUAAUCUUUCUUGUAAUAUCGUUGAUCUUAAAUAAGAUUUAAUUAAUUUGAGUUUCGAAAAACUUCUUUCUGCUGAAACGACAGUUACAGGAAUUGUUAACAUUAUUCUAUAAGCAAUAUAUGCAUUUGGAAAAGAAUAUAAUUGUCUUAUAUAAUUAAGUAUGUCAAUCGAUGUAUAAUUUUUUACUUGUAUUAUCUUUCUUAAAAUUUUAAGUUCUACAAAUAAAUCUAAUUCAUCAAUGUCUGAGUUGUCCUUAUAUUUUAAAGAAAAUUCAAGGUUAAUGCAAUUUUCUUUUAAUUUCUCAUUAUCAAAUGAUUUUAAUUUCUCAAUACUAAAUAGAAAACCAAAAAUAUUUGCAUACAAUUUAAAUUGUUUAAAUCUACUUUGAAAUGAAGUAAUUGAUCUAUCAAUUAUUUAUAGGAAAUAAUCAAUUUUAAAAGACUCUUCAGAAGAUUGUACAAUGUCAUUAUCAACACUUUCAUCAAAUUGUUUCUUUCUACGAAUAAUACGUUUUUCUCGAAACUUAGGUUCUAUGUCUAUUUCGAUAGAAAUUUCUUUGGCAUAAAUCAUGGCAUUUUUCAAAUCCAUUUUCUCUAUAAUUUUCAAAAAAUGAAAUAAGACAUUUCAACUAUUCUAUAGCAACAUCAAUACGCAUAUCUUUUGAUUGAAAUUUUUUACUAAUUGAGUUUACAGCAAAUAAAAUAUCAUACUAAAUAGUCAUGCUUAGCAAAAAUUCAAAAUUUUCAAGCUCAUAAGUUGCUAAACAAUCAACUUCACUUUUUAUUUUAGGAUCAUCAUUAACUUCACCUAAUUUUAAUAAAGCAUCUCUUAUCUGAGGAGUUUGAAAACGCAAAGCUUUCACACUUUCAAUGCGACUUUCCCAACUUGUUUGUGACAAUGAUUUUAGAGUUAAACUAGGGAUAUGAUCUUGCAAAAAAAUUCAUCUUUUAGUUGAAGAAGAAAAUAGUGUGUAUAUACGUUGUACUACUCCAAAAAAAAAGAUGUAGCUUUAGAACAACAAUUAGCCAUAUCACAAAGUACUAAAUUUAGACUAUGGCAACCACAAGGAGUGUAAAAUGAUAUAGGAUUAAUAUCUAUAAACCUUUUUUGCACACCUUGAUGUUUCUCUUUCAUAUUUGAUCCAUUAUCAUAACCUUGUCCUCUUAAACUACUAAUAUCAAGUCCAAUAUUAUUUAUUUCAUUUGUAAUUGUAUCAAAGAGACCUUUUCCAGAUGUAUCAUCUACAGUUAAAAAUUCUAAAAAAAAUUCAGAGAUUUGUAUCGGAGUCGAUGAAAGAUCCACACAUCGUAGCACAAAAGACAUUUGCUCUUGAUGACUUAAAUCCGGAGUAUAAUCAAGUAUGAUUGAAAAAUAUUUUGCAUCAACAAUUUUUUUUUUUAAUUUUUUUUUUAUUUCAUUUGCUAGCAAGGUUAUCAAUUCAUUUUGUAUUCUAUGUCCAAGGUAGUGGUUAUGAAUUUCUUUGUCUUUAACUCGACGAACAUGUUCUUGCAUUAUAGGAUCAAAUUCUGCAAUCAUUUCAAUUAGACUUAAAAAAUUUCCAUUAUUUUCUUGAUAUAACUUUUCAUUUGUUCCACUAAGUUGUUUCUUCCAAGAAUUUUAACUAUAGCAAUAAUUCUAAAUAAUACAUUUCUCCAAUGUUAUUUAUCCCUAUUUAUUUGUUUUUAAACAUCUUUGUCAAUUGUUUUCCCUUUUGACAAUCUUAAAUCUAAAUCCAUCCAAUAACUCAUGUUAGCAAUGUGUUUACUACUUGUCUCAUGAUUUCUCAAUUUAUAACUAAUAUUUCUCCAAUCUCUACUACCUUCAUUAGCCAAUUUAUUUGUACUAGGAAGAACAUUAAAUAAUUUGCAAGAAAAACAAAAAGCUUUAUCCAAGCCUUUAGAAUAAACUAACCAUCUUCUUUCCUUGUUGGGUAACUUUUGAAUGUAAAGGGACGAAGAAAAGUGUCUUGAAUAUUCAUCCUUAGAAAAAUCUAUAUCAAUAAUUUUAACAGGACCUUUUUCUACCAAUAAAUCUUUCAAACUUGUAUCAAUAUUUGUCCAUUGACUUGGAUCAUAUAUGUUUUUGGAAUGGAUUCGUCUAAUUCAUUGACUUCUUGAUUACAAACAAAUUCUAAUUCCAUAUUUCCAUUUAUUUCUACAACGUUAUCCUGCUCAUUCAACGAGCAAUUACCAACAUUUUCAAUUUUAGUUUUUUUUUGUUGUUUUGAUAAAUUUAUCUAUAGCUCCCUUUUGCGAUUCAAUAAAAGCUUCAAUUAUUUUCUUUUUUUGUAAUUUUGCAUAGCCUGAUUCAUAUUUUUGAGUUGAUAUUUAUAUAUAUAAAAAAAUAGAAGCAACACAGAUUCAAGUUCAACAAACACAGAUUGAACAAGAUUAAAGAUAAUUAGAUAAAUAUUAUAACAAUAUAACCUGGUCGAUAAGAUACUGUUUGAAAUAAAAAAAUUCUUCUAGUUUAUGUUCCAACCAAAUAGAAAUGGUUGAUCCAACUACAAUUAAAAAAAAAUUAAUAAUUUAGAAUAUAAAUAUUUACUUAAUACUUAAGAGAUGAAAAAUAGACGAAUAAAUUAAAAAUACAUACCUGAUUAUAUAAUGGCCAAUCACACAAUGAAAGUUCAAAAUCAAAAAUAAAAUCAAAUCCAGGAAUGAGGAAGUAUGAUGAAAGGUGAAAAAAAACUUUUGUAAUGUUGAAUAGCAAAAUUUCAAAUAAAUCUUUCAAUGUGAAUAUGAUAUUUUAAGAAACACUUUUAGUGAAAAACAACGGUUUGCCUUUAAUAUAAGAUGCUUUUCUUUUUAGUGAAAAGGAAUGCAUUUAAGAUCAAAAGAUUCCUCCAAUGGUAUACUAUCCUCGUUAUCAUAAAUAGUAACAUCGAUUUUAAUUGACUAAUAAUAAAUAAACAUAUUUUAAUUGACUAAUAAUAAAUAAACACAUAUCAAUUCAAACGAUUAUUAUGCCAAAAAUUAGAAAUUAAAAAAAAUUGGACCUCUAUACCUAUAAAAAUUAAAAUAAAAAAAAAUUAUUUUUUGGCGAAACUUAAAGCAAGGGUUUUACGUGCCUCUCCCUUGUGCCGACUCUGGAAGGACUGUGUAUAUUGACUUGUCAUCUUUAUACAUUGAAUGGACAUAGGUUGGGUGGGUUAAUUUGAAUAAUUGUCUUUAUAAAAUGUUACUUUAAAUAAAGAAGAUGGAAAUUUAAUUUGUAUUCAAAAAAGGGAACACAGCACAAACAUAUUUUCGUAAAAAGGGUAUUUGUGUUUACCAGAUCAUGUCCCAUGUUUUUUUCAUCAUUUCCAAGACUACACGAGUGAAUUAAUAAUUAAGUAAUAUUUAAACAUUAUUGUUUGUUCAGAUGUCCACAUUUGCUAUUUGAUUAUCGCGUCCCGAGGCACUAUGGAGAUGAAAAUAUUGAAGCUACAAAUGUUAAUUUGUGAUGAACGUGCGUUUAUAUCAACUUUUGUUGUGGUUCCAGACGAAAGGUGUCACAAUGUAAAUUACUUCUAUCAAAUAACAAGAGUAGUUUAAAGGUUUUGUAUAUAUAUUUAGAAAUAUAAUAAUUAAAAAAAAUUAUAAGUGAUAUUUAAUUUGAGACAAUUUUUACUUUUAAAUUAAUAUUAUUUGUGAGACAAAAUGAGUAAGAAACACUAAUUAACGACAUCAAUUUUAUUCUUUUUUAGAUGUUUGAGAUUUCCCAGGACAAUUAUUUUUAAUUUCAAUGAAAAUUCUUAGAAAUUAUAUUACAUAUUAAGUUAUAAUUAAUGGUCUAAAAAUUAACUUAGACUUUGGUAGACAUUGAGUUACUGAAUCAUUGGUCAAAACUACGGAGUAAUUCAUUAAACUGCAUGAUUAAAUUUUAUUAAAUCGAAUGAACUCGAUCUUAUGACUGAGUCACUAAAAUGUUAUUUUUGUAUUGAAUCGAAUAACUUGCACUCGAAAAAAAAUCAAGACAAUAAUGAUAAAUUAGAAAUAACUUUUAUAAUAUACUCUCUCUUGUAUUAUAAAAAAAUGACUUAAAUCUUAAUCUAGACAAUUAUUUUUUAAUCUACUAUUCUUAAUAUAUCCUUCAUUUAUUUUAAAAUAUUUAAUAUUGAUAAUGGAAUGGAAUGUUUGUCAUUAAAAAGAGAAAUUUUAGUAAAUUUAUUUUAUUCUACAUAAAAUUUAAAAAAUUAAUUAUACUUAACUAUUUUUAUAAACGUUCGUGAUUUUUUUUUUAAUAAUAGUGACCAGAGGAAAUAUUAAUUAAUUAAUAUUGUUGGUUUUUAAAUAUAACAAACAAGGAGCAGAAUGCCUCACAUGUUCGACCACUGCUCUGCAACUUAUUACAGUUUUUUUAUAUAAACAAAAUUGCAAUUGAAGACACUAAGAGUAUCUCCAACAUUACGUAAUUGUGUUGUGUUCGUCCGCCCGGGUGUAAUAACGUAAAAUUUAGUUUUUUAUGAAUUCACCGUUGCAGUUAUGCCAAUGUGUUAUUACGGUACUGUGUGAACGAUACUUUAUUGCGGUUACCUUUUUUUUUAAUGAGUUCAUUGUUUGGAGAUGCUCUAAGUAUUUCUUUUUUUUAUUUGCAUCGGGAGGAAGCUUAGUAUUGACUUUGGCCUAGAGCAGACCAACGUUGUUAAACUCGAGUGUUAACUUGUAAACUCGUCUGAUUCUAUGAGUUCAGGUAUUGAUUGUGAGUCAACUCGAUUGUGGAAUCGAAAUAUAAUAAAUUCGUAAGUGGUAACAAGUUUAUACGAGUUAACUCGUUUCAAAUUUGAUAGAAUCGGGUGAUCUUUUUCAGUUUUGUUUACAUUUUAUAGUUUUCACUCACGUCUUGCAAUGAGAUACUAUUCACAAAAACAAGGAUUAUGACUUGUUUUGUUGGUUGCAUUUAAUAAACAAGGAUUAUAAAUGAACAAGGAUUAUGACUAUGCUCCACACACUUUUCUCUGAAUAGAAAAGAAGAAUAAAAUCCAAUCCAACACAAACCACUAAAUAUUUCCUCCUGUCAGCGUAAUACAUAACUCUUAAUUUUCCAACUUUAUAGGCUUAUUGCUUAUUUUGUAAACUGCAGAAACAUGAUAAUGAACUUAUUCAUAAUGAGAAACUAUAUAAACCAUGCAUUGUAUUGGACCCACGGUAGUUUUUCCUCCUUUCAGUUUUGUUUACAUUUUAUAGUUUUUAGUUUUUCGAUGUGUUCGUUGUUUGUGUUGAUCACUCUAUUGUUAUGCUUGUUUUCUUUAUAGUUUUUAAGUUAUUUUAUCACUCCAUUUUUGUUUACAUAGAUUGCUAAUUUACUAAUACAUGUCUACAUUCCUUCUUUUUAUUAGAUGGUUUAUAAUGAGAUUGGGGGUGGGUCUCAAAGCAACCCAGGUGUAUCCGUAACUACAUUUUUCAAAGGAAAAAGGAGGAAAAAUGCCCCUGGAAAUAGGACGGAUAUUGGGUGAAAAUAUGGGGCAGAUGUAUUGGGUGAUUCUAGAAAAGUUAAAUGAACCUUUUGCUCAAAAAUCAUUAGUGGAGGAAUUUACAUAUUCAAACUUCAUCUUGUAGGAACUAAAGAAGAUUCUGAACCAUGUACACAAUUGUCGGACGAUGUAAAAUUACUAAUGCUCAAAGUAGUCACUAAUGUUAAUGAUGCGUUAGUGAAGAAAAGAAGAAUGGCUGAAAUGUUUGAGGAUGAAGAAAUUGUGACAUUGAUAAAUAACUUUGAGUCUCGACAAACAAGAAAGGUUGUUACAAAUACUAAAGGAAAACUAGUAUUGUUGGGAUUCAAUCAACAAUUAACCAACUGCUUAAAAAACCCCAUAAAGGAGGAAGCUGAUGAUCAUGUUGCAGAUUUCUUCUACUCUAGUGUCAUUCCAUUUAAUUAUAUAAAAAACAGUCUUUGCAAAAAUAUGUGAGACAAUUGGAAAAUAUGGAAUUGGAUAUGAACCUCCUUCCCAUCAUGAUAUUGUAGGGANNNNNNNNNNNNNNNNNNNNNNNNNNNNNNNNNNNNNNNNNNNNNNNNNNNNNNNNNNNNNNNNNNNNNNNNNNNNNNNNNNNNNNNNNNNNNNNNNNNNNNNNNNNNNNAUUAUUGAAAAGAGCGGUAGAUAGAACCGACGCAAUGCUUCAAGACUUUAAAGCUGGGUGGAAAAGAACCGGUUGUUCCAUCGUGUCUGAUGGGUGGACAAAUAGUAAAAAAUGGUCGAAUCUAUUAAUAAUUUUUAAAGUAUCUAAAAAAAUACAUUUAAAAGUUGUACCUCUUCCAAUAACGAAUUAAAAGUAUCGAAUCUAUGACACAUAUACUUUAUGAGACUCGAAUAACUUUCUACUUGAUUCGUUUUUCUUUUUUAGUUUGUAUAUUUGCUCUUCAAAAAAGCUUAUUCUGUUAAAACAACUUACUACUUGAUUCACAAUAUUGUUAAAAUGAAUUAGCAUCAUUAUGUUUCUUUUAUUUUCUCUUUUGUAAUAUUUAUAGAACGAACCAAAGGUACCUUAAUUGAUAAACAAAGAGAGUGCAAAAUGAUAGAUAAACAAUCAUCAUCAAGAUGAGCUAUGAGACAAAGGAGAAGGACCCUGCUAAGUGUGUUAACCAUUAACUAUAAUAGAAACAGCUUGAUGAAUCAAACAAUAAGAACUGCUACAAUGAAGUCAAACAAUUAUCAGCAAGGUCCAUUGCAAGUUUGGCUGUCCAAAGCCACAAAAUCAUUGCACUAAGAGAUACAUGUCUACGUGGCUUGUUUUCUUUCUAAAUAACUUAUAUUUGAUAGGUAAUAUGAUAUUAUGACAUUUCAAACUAUAUUAAUACACCUGC
Molecule: long non-coding RNA, 69918 nt
Filed under: Cicer arietinum (chickpea)
Lineage: Eukaryota; Viridiplantae; Streptophyta; Magnoliopsida; Fabales; Fabaceae
Description: long non-coding RNA (CARI_LNC002759)
Rfam family: Small nucleolar RNA SNORA69 (bases 34947-35070)
Source: RNAcentral